GGUUAGUUUAAACGUUAAUUAAAAAACCCCGCCCACUCUCCGAAUUCGGACAUUAGUGUCGAGCGGACGUUAGUGCUAAAGUAUCGAAACUCCUCGGUAAAGAAGUGACUUUCUUUAACGUUAAAGGUGACAGUAAUGCUACAAAAACGAAAAUGAGGCUGAGGCAGUGUUAAUGGAGACAUUUUCUUGGACUGUCGUUGACUUUUGGAGGAUUCUAAAGCGAACGCGGGGAGAUGCUAAUGCUAACGCGGCGAUGGACUACGGAGGCUCGCGAGGACGAUUUUACCGAGGAGGCAUCAAAACUGUAAGUCUGUUUUAAUCUCUAAAAGGCUGUUUUUGUAAUCUAUGUAAAUCCUUUUAAUCUCUAAAAGGCUGUUUUUGUGAUUUUUGUUAGUUUGGCUAAUAUUGACUAAACUGUCAGGUAGCAGCUUUGAUUAAAAGCUUUAAUAUUUUCACAUUUAACAUGCAGUAUUGGUUGAAGUUUGCUUUAAGUCCCUAGAACAGGGCUCUCUGUGUUAGCUGGUGUUACUGAGUUUUGUUUCACAAUGGGUACAUGUUGUUGUCUGUUUCUGUAGAACUGGCUGUAUCUAUUUUAUAUCCUGUCACUUCCCUUUUUAUAGACCAAGUACUAGUUUGCCUUGCAUAGCUGAAUGAUGAAAAAGAAAGAACAGCUAGCCUGAGUUUUGCAUGUUUAUACAAUAGUUAGUAGUACUGUUUUUGAUGAGCUAAACCAAACUGAGGCUGCAUGUUUGUUGUACAGAUGAGAGAGCAAGAAACCCUCAUUAACAAGUCAAAUAAGCUUUUUUUUUGUAUUAAGUGCUCAUGUUUAGACUCUUGUAGAGUGACCAUAAGUGUUUUUGUUGCCAAAGGUAGGAGAGCAGUAUUUGGUUUUUGUUGAACUGAAGAUUUUUGAAAGUAUGGGCUUCUUUUUAUUCCUAUCAAAUAAUUGCUGUAAUUCACAAAGGUUUAUUCCAUUUUGAGCUUCAUGGUCAUGGUUCCAGAAUAUCAAUCUUUACAUCCUUAGCCUGCUGUUUCUGUGGUCUUUGUGCGAAAUCUGCAUCUCAGGGAUGACUGUGGCUCUCUAUUGUUCUAUAUCAUUGACAAACAAUGCAGUGAAAAAGUUAACACAAUGUCAGAGGAUGUUUUUUUUUCAUACAAAGGUUUCUUUUUUCCGUUACUGUAACACCCAUCAUUAUAACAACCACUUCAUCUACACACACGCACACACACACACACACACAAUCUUACAAACACAUGCUUCCACAUCAAGGUGUUGACAAGCCACUAAAACAGGCCUGCUCAUUUUAUGUUGAAUAUGUGGCAGUGCUGGAGUUGAUAAGAUAAAAUCUCAGGUGUCAGUGAAAAAGAAAAGAUGAAAAAGGGAAAAAAAACAACACAUGCUCUGGCUGAGAAGAGGUACACCUGCUAAAGUAAUGGUCUAAUUAUGGAGUAGGUGAUGAAACACUCAUCGGGAGUCUGGAGAUAUCAGCAACACAUGCUAACUGUGAAAGCCAUCAGCUAUUACAGUGUUUUAAUGUGCGCCACAUCGCACGCUGAGGGUUGUGUGCUAAGAUGAAUGAUGGCUGUGGCAGGUUUCUGUGGGGGAGCAGCCCGAGAAGGAUGCAUAGCAUUACAGCUGGCAUUUUGAAAAGGUUCAUUAAAACUGUGAUUCCUUUGUUCACGCUUUGUUUCAUGUAUACUUUAUGACACAUCUCAGUUCAAGUCGACCCCAUAAACCUCAGAUCAUCUUAUCAUGUGCAAAAUAUCACAUCCUGGUGUGUCUUCUUAACAAUAUUGUGUUAGUGAUGGGUAAUCAGCGGAUGACAGAAGAGCCCCCGAACCAAAAUUAUACCUCCGUGAGCGACUUUGCACCCAAAUGAUAAAAAACAGCAAAGGUUUUCUUUUCAUGUGUAAAGGUCAUUCCCUGUGUUUUGUAAUUUGCUGACACUAGUCUGGGGACUGAAGAUGGAGAUUUCUGUGUUGCCACCCCGAGAGUAAUAAUAUCCCUAUCUCAACUUGGGAAAUCUACUGUGCCCCAAUGUCCCCGUCACCCGUGUGAACCCAUUAUGGGCUGUGUAGAAAUCUGCAGGUCUCAUUUCAUAUAUGACCUCACCCUCCCCGCCCUCCCCUCCUCUCCUUUCUGUCCCCGUGUCUCCUGAAUAGCUUAUAAUAACAAGCUUUAAGAAGCCUACCCUUAGUGCCCCCAUAGGAUACAGCCUUGCAAGGCUCUAUAAUAUCAUGCUUUUUUCCUAAUUAAAGGUCAGUUUGGUGCAGUCUCAUAGUUGCCUUGGCUGAAAAAUCUCCUGAAGCAUGAUAGCUUUGCCAAAUGUGAUUUAAUUUUCCAUUUAUGCCAUCUGUUUUCUUGGCUAAGGCACUGAAUUGCACAAGUUGAAAAUGUUGGAACUGUCGGAUUCAUUUUGUAAUUCUUCAUAUUUGGAGUUUAUAAUGAAUCACAUCCAGAAAAAGAAGAAGAAGUUUUCUCGCAGCUUCGACCUCCCAAGAUCAAGCAGCUGGUUUUUAUCUGACCUGUAUGUGGCACUUUGGAUAGUUUUGUCCGUACUUUGCAUCUGGAGAUGGUUGGUGUAGCUGAAGUAAUUGCUGUGGUUGUAUUCUACGUACACUCAUCUCUUACAGCUUAUACUUUAUUGCUUAACUUAUCAUUAAACACACACCCCAUACACCCACAUGCAUGUGUGCAUGCACAGAGCGCACCCGUACACAUGCAUGCAUGCAUACACACAUAUACUUUCCUCCGUCUGGUGGGGAGUCUGGACUGCUCCGUCUGACUGCGCCUCACUGCCCUUGUGCAGUGGUGUGCCAGUUGUGCCUUCCCCCAUCGCUGUGAAUGCCACCAUCUGGUGUGCCACGUGGACAUCAUAAUCUCCCCUUAAUUACAUUAGCAGUGCAAUCAGUUACUGCAUUACAAGGCCGGGCGAAGAGCUUUUAAAUCUUGGAGGAAAUCAUAAAUAAUUGCACUAAGUACCCAGCGCCAGAUGUGCGUGCCAACUUGGCUGGCAUGAGAUAAAUAGUAACCUCAACAACGGUGUUCAAUAUCCACUCUGCAAACAUUUUUGGGCAGUAUGAUCCCCUUGUCUUUUACUCUUGUCCCCGUCCUCAUCCUUUACCCUCCACUUUCUUUUACUUUGUGUGUUAAAGCACACAGAGGUCGGGGUCUGUUGACCGCACAGUCGGCUACCUGUUGCUACUGUGUGUCUGUGCUGCAGGGUGACUGAUGGCCUCCGAGAGACGGUUUGUAACGAGGUGCUCCACGGCGUCACCACCAUUCAGUCCAUUACUACAGCCUUCAAUCAUGCCUCAAUUGUGUAAUUAGAUGUUUCUCGGGUACCUGGUGUUUGAAAUUGAAAUUUCCUGAUGAAUUCUGAAUAGUUGUGUUUAGGUGUGUGUGUGUCUGUGUGUGUGUGUGCAGACGGACAUGACAUUACACAUUAUGAGCCUCCUCAGAGGGGAUGUUGCAUUGUGUGGCAUGGUACUUUUCACUCAUCUUCCUGUCAUGUUCUUAGUUCCCAGGGCCGCUUGUACUGACACACAUCUCCGUCAGUUCAGCACUCGCUCAGAGCAUUUCCUCUUAACCCACCAGCUACACAGAAACUCUAUCUGUUACCAACACGCUGCUGCUGCUGCGGCCGUUGGAGUUAUGAAAAAGCUCCGAUUUUGAACGGGAGGCAUUCAUAGACACACCGAACCUCAUCAUAGCAGCAGGAGCACAGGUGUAACUAAUAACACUAAUGAGCAGGCAGCUAUGCACAAUACCACAGCCUGGGUCUUGAAAACUAAAUUGUUUGAAGCCGUCAUUAACUAUAUGAGACACACCUGGGCUUUUUCUGCUCCAGCAUGUCACGAAUGAAGUCCUCAAAAUUCUGUCCUGUAAUGUUUAUAAUAGGAGGACAAUGUUUUGUUGUAGUUUAGAGGACAGUUUGUGUUUUUAGUGUUUGAAUGUGAUGUUUUCCCACCUGAGAGCUGGCUGAUUUACAGAAAUCUUCAGGGGCGGUCCAGUUAUCCCAGGCAAUAACACCUCACCAAAGUUGAAAUGUGAUGCCAGAAACACAAAAACAUAGAUAUCUUAUGUAAAAAGUCGUGUUUUCUCAUAAAGCACAUGUUAACCAAAUGAACAGAGGCUUGAAUAGUCGUGUUUUCGCUCUAUUUUGAUACGUGUUUUCAGCUUCUUCCAUUGUAAUUGAUGCACAGAACUCACCUGUGAAUUCUUGUUGUGUCUUUUGUGUUUUUCUAAUGGUGAUAUUUAUAUUGGCAGUGAGCAAUGUUUAACCAGCCCAAAGGACGGUGUGGGUUGGAAAGUUUUCAGACCCUUUAGUUCAGAAAAUAGAGCGACCAAAGUCAGGCCUUUCCAUCAGGGGCUAAUGGUUGCUUCACAGUAAAGCUGGGAAUAUCUCAGUCCAUGUUUAGUCAACGGAUGUUGAAUGAAGCUGGUUGUGUUUAACACAGUUGUAAUAAUAAUAUACUAUAGCAGUCAGUCAUUAUUCAAAAUUAUGUUAAAUAAGAAAUCUGUUAAUCUAUUCUUUAUUUUAAUAAUUUAACUUUUCAUGCAUGUUCACUCAUGUUCCAAAUAUUCUAUAUAUUGAUAAGAAAAUAGGAUCGAUUUGGGUCAAUGGAAAAAAAUUGCUUAUUUAGACAUUUGAAAAUAAGUCCCUUUAAUAUGCAAUGAAACAGAUCCAGGCUCUAUAUUGUACGUCUAUUAAAAAGUCUGAACUCUAACUGUGUGUUUCAUGUCACAGAUGGUCUGAUAUAUUUGCAGAGAUGAUUAGAUCCAUACGUGUUAAUUAAAGGUAUUUAAUAGUAUCUCUAUAAUUACUCGUACUGUUAAUUGUUCCUGCGUUUGAUAGGUUAAUAUGAGUACAGUGGAGUUUCUUAUAACUGAAGUAAACGGUUCAGCUUUAUGCAUUUGGAUGUAAAUGGUUUUCCAUCUUCAUGCUCUCAGGAGGGACCGAGGAGGUAAAAGACACACCUCCAGAUUUAUCCCCCUCACUGUUUAAAUAAGAUAUAAAAUCACAAAAAGGCACGUUGACAAUCCAUCUCCCGGUCGCAGGUAUUGAUAUUAACAUGUACAAUGCCCAUUUCAAUUUGAUCACAAUCUGGCCUUCAAAGUGCUUUUUAAAUGAACGGGUGUCUUUCCAACUAAACAAUGUGCGGAUAGAAACACGGCAGAGUGAAGAAAGAGAAUUACAGAUAUUGACUAAAUACGUCUUAUCAUUUAUCAUAAUUUCUCCAUCCACUUUGUCACGGCUUCAGCGUGUAAGGAAGAUAGAUGAUACAAGAUGUUGUCCUCUCUUUCAUACUUUCCCUGCUCUGGGAAGUGUGUCCAAUAUGGACUUACUUUACCUCUUUGCAAUUCAGUUUGCAUGCGUUUGUCACCGCCCUGACAGAGUUUGCAUUUCUUGCAUGUUUCCUUUUUUACCCGUGCUGCAUUAAGGGACAUCUGGCGUUUUCACCUUUGACCUGUUUGACGAAGGAUGCGAAUCAUGAGCAGCAAUAUAUCUUACUGAUGAUAGCAAAUACUUAAAGGGCAGCGUGUCAAAUCUCUACACGGGUGUUUUAGUCGAUUAAGCGAUGGCGUUACGUUAUUCAGGGAGGUUUUAAAAGGACCACAAUGUCAGUGAAGUGUCGUUAAAAAACGAGGCUUCCAAAAAGGUGUGGCGUUUCCUUUCUUACGCUCCAGUGGGCUUUAUGCUGAGGUGGUUCACCUCGGCAAGGGCGACCAUUAAUAUCUGAGAAGGAGUAUUCCCAGGGCGAGGUGACUGGAUGGAGAAGGUCCUGCUCCGAGCAGACACCUACAACAUGAAAGUUCAGAAAAGUGCUGAGCCUGAGCACAGCUAGCUACGCAGCCAUCUGCUCCCCUGCUAACUAAUGCAAAAUAUCCACAGUGAGUGAAUCUCCAAGAGGGAUGGGACUCACUGUCUCAUUUUCCUUAUAAUUCAGAUACACAUGAGGUAAAGACUUUACAUGGUGCAGAAAAAAGGGGUGUAUUAAAUAUCAUGUGCUUUAAUAUCCUCAUGUAAUCUGCAGUCAUACUUUUUUUUGCACAGUACCUUUUAUUUAAUAUCCAACUAAACUGAUCACAUCCUGUGCAAUAAUACUUUCUAUUUCAUGUGCAGUGACUCUAAUAUCAUGUGCAGUAACACUCUUCUUUUUUUGCAUGAGUACGUUUCAUUUUAUGCGCAGUACCUCCUUAUAUCUAAUACUUCCACGUCAUGCUCAUUAUACUUUUUUACAUUUUCUAAUUCUAAUACCAUGAAGUUAUUUGUAUAUCCUGUACAGAAAUUCAUCUUUCCAUGUUUUGUUCUUAUCCAGUGUUUCCCCUAGAAUUUUUUUUCAGCAGCGGCGUGUGUGUGUGUAUAGAAAAUUAUAUCCAUAAUAGACGCUCAAAUAAAUUCUGUUAUCCCUGUUACUCCCUUGCCGCUCAAGGAGCUCCUCUGUUACUUUCACGUUACGUUACGAUACCCGCGCCACUCGCUAUGGACCGUGUAUUAGCUUGAGAGUUACCUUUCACAUUAAUGGAAGAAGGUCUGACCGGAUUGGAUCCGCUCAUUGAUGACUCCAAACAAGUCGAAUAUAACGUUGUGUGUUCUUGUGCUCACACAGAGCGAGUAGAAAUUAUUAGUGGCAUAUUGAUAUGUAAAAUUUCAGUGGUGGCGCAUGUAAUUUCAGUAGUGGCGGUGCGGAUGGCAAUAUAAGAUAUAUGAUAUUUUAGGAUGCUGUAUGCGGGUGAUAUAUGCAGGUGCAUGUGGCCUAAACUAAACUGCAGUUUAUUGUUAUGAAUGUAAUUAUAACGGAUGGACCUGUGUUUUUAUUUCCCUGUUCUGACUGUAUUAAAAGCGACUCUUGGCUGAGCUGAGUGUACAAAACCAGAGUCUUGAUUCCUGUGUACAACUUAAGCAAAGCUAUGUCAGUGAUGAUGUGUUGUCAGGGAGGUAUGGUGUAAGUAACGCUUCAUUAAUUUUUAUCACAUUACAAAUAAUCUAACAACACUAUGUAUAUUUAUUCUCUGUAGCACCAGGGCCCAGAUGUUUACUUUGUUAGUUUGGUUGCAGGUUUAGAACUUACUGAUUUUUCCUUCUGUUGGAGCUGAAAGACCUUUUAAAACGUUGACUAUAGUGAAGCAUCGACCUGAUCAGACAUCCUGUUAAUAACGUGUUAAAUGAAACAUUGAAAAUAUAAGAAAUAAGGGAGUAAGAAAGCAGAACAAUGUGUUUUAAAAUUGUUGUUUGGCAGAAACAAAAGCAGAAAGUUGUUCUGAUAGAGUCAGUGAUUGUCAGUGACGUGACCCUGUGGUUUCUGGAGCAGGUUUUGAAGCCGAUGUUGCCUUUGCUUGACUUCAGGUUUACCCUAAAAGUGGCCGAGUUGUUAUGUUGUCCUUUAAUACCGGAGCUUACAUCUUAUCUGAGCAGAUUCUCCCUUUUAAAAUGAACUAAAUCAAACACACUAAGUAUCAGCGCUGAAACCACCAAGAGUUAUAAGUUUAAUAAGAUGUGCUGAUAUGCCCAGGCUCUUAUUUCUUCUUCUUCGUACGCUGAUUCUUACAUCUAUUACACACACAGGACUCUGUCACUCAGCCCUCUCCUGGAUUUGAAUGUGUUGUUUGCCCCGGUGUGGUGAUUUAAAGGGAACAUUUUAUCAGGGCUAGCCAAGCAAGCCUGGUCCACCAGGGAGCCGGGGCAUUUUAUAAGGGUAUAAAUAAUCAAUGACACUGCAUCUGUAAUGGCCUGUAAUGCAGUUUGUUAACUCCUCCACUUCACCCCGCCCCCCCCUCUCCGCCCAGGAAGGCGCGUUUGUUGCUCAGACAAUAGAAACGGAUUGCUGCGUUUAAUUGACAAGGCAGGGGGAUCUCUCUUUAGCUGUCUUUCUGUCUCUCUCUGUUACUCUGACUGCACACGACUCCGAGACACUCUCUCUGUUUGUUUUCCAUCAUUCCAAAUGGAGCCGUAUGAGGCGGCGGGAGAGGACAAAUAGAGGCUGAAGGUCAUUAAGUCCACAUUAAAUGUUAACUUAUGCAUGCAACGCGGCUUGAUUAAGAUCAUGCGAUUUCUUUUGUGUCAUUUUAGCUGUUUCUCUCCAUGAGCACGUAUCUCAAAUUAACUUUUAUUGAUCAGUUACAGGCCAAACCCACAAAAGACUCAAACAUUUGCCAAAAAGUUCAGUUUUAUGACCUGACACGCCAUAAAACUCGUUCACAUGUAAACCUCUGGUCACGUCGGGGGCGGGAGGCUGUUUAUAAUUGGUCAGAGGAAGGACUCAGUCACCGCCGUCACGUCUGAGGAUAAUAUUUCAUUUAAUUCCUGUGAAAAACAAAACAAAAACAAAAUACCAAGUGUGCUCACCCCCUCCUCCCCCUGCUCACACACACACACACAGCCAAACGCGAUACAUAUUUUGAGUCUCACCCCUCCCCCCCGGUCUCACCCGUGAGCCUCUGAUUUCCAUUAUUAUUAAUAUCUGCCUGUUUAAUUUUCAGCUCUGUCAUAAUGUGUCGACCUAAACUACAAGAGACAAUCCCUUAUUGAUUACUUUCCCAGCAGCCCCGGCGCAUGCCCCAGCUGAUCACGCCUCUCAUGCACAGACAUCUCAUGCAUUUCAGAUAAUAAGCUGCUGCUCCGGAGUUGAAACAAAUUGGAUGUGCAGUCAGUCACUGUCCAAGUGAAUCAUGUUGCAGUCUGUCAGUGGACUAGGCUUGGAUUAUCAUCUUACCCAAGCGAGGCAAAGAAAAGAGAGAAAAAACGCCAUGAGCACCUGCCAUGAAGGCGGGGUGGUAUUACUGCGUGUGCGUUAAUGCCACGCUGUUGCAGAGUUGUUUAUCGGGAGUAUUGAUCACCCUGCGUGUUGUUAAACAUUUUAUACACAUUUGUUAUUUUAAAGUAAAGCCCAAACUAGAAGGAGAGUGACUUUUCCAAAAAAAAACUAUGACAGGGGAAGACAUAAUAAGAUCCAAACAAAAUCUCUCAGCGUAUUUGACGUGUGUAUCAUUAGUGUAGUGAUCUUGAUGAAAAGAACUCAUCGACAGUCUGCCGUAUGAGGAUCUAUUUUUUGAGUGAUUCGAUUGAAACGGCGUCGCUCUUUGUCUUUAUUUGAACAAAGCGUGACGCUUCAAACAAACAUGAUUUCCUUCAUCUAUACUUUGGGCCGGGCGUGAAAACAAAGUACAGGCUUUUAGCAUCACGGCAGAUGGCUUUUUAGAAAGUUCCCAUGAGAAAUAUUUGACAAGAUAUGAAUGAAGCAAGUCAUUAGUCCUCUGAAAUCGAUGAGUUCUUAUCAGGAGCAAACUUUUGUUUACAUGACAACCAGAAAGUCUCGACACAAGGAGAAGGAUCAGCUGCAGGAUUUGUUUAUGAACAAUAUUUUCCAGCCUGUCACACUUUUCUCUAUAGCAUGACAGCACUGUUGAGCUUACAAUAGUAGAUGCUAGGAACACCAUGCACCGUGCGCCGUGUUAUACUAUACACAGACAAGGCUUACACUGUGCCAAAUGCUACUUCCAGCAGAAAACAAUGCUGCCAUUGUGUUUCCCUGCUUUGGAUCCUUCAACAGGGAGAAAAUAAAGCAUCCUGUCACCGCGGACUUGGCUCCGUUUCAAAUUUAGUGCGCUUUCACGUUAAAAAAUCAAAAAGGCAAGAUUUUUAUUUUUUUCUCCAAGUUGCAACGGAAGACAUGAUUAAUAAUACAUCAGGAUUAUAGAGCACAGACUGUGCAGCGCUGACUUUAAUAAGUCCAUGGAGGGAAAACAAACCCAGACUCUGAAAACAACCACACUCACUGGCUGCAAAACAUCUGCAUUUAAACACCAAUAAAUCUACAUUUUCCUCCUCUCUGCUAAAUAGGAUUGUGCUUGAUGUUUCACAUGUACCUAAAUAAAGGCGAUGGCCAUCUUUUUUUUUGUCCCAGAUUUUUCCCAAACUAUAUGAAAUAAAGGUUUGAUUUUGGAGCUGCACCUGAGCUUCUGCAGUUUGCAGCAAAAACCCUGAGAAGUAGAAUAAUUGGCACCCUAGUGUAAGACUCCCUCAGCUUGGUGCCAGCUGUUUAAAAUAUGGAUGAUAUUGUUUUCAUUGCUGGGCUUUUAUUGAGUUCUACUUGGUCCAUGCAGUAUAAUCCUCAGACUCUGACCUUUUCUGGCAUGUGGGAAAAGUAAAUAAACAAGGCACUGAUGUAUUCCCCGCCUUACCAGAGGAGCUGAGCAGCAGCUUUUCACUUGAUCAUAUUCAGGUGUCUGGAAUUCAGAGAGCUGUCUGUGGGCGCCAAAGAAAGAGCUGCAAGAUUCCUCUUUCCUUGUGGAGAAGGCUGGAUGGGAAAUAUAGAAAUUAUUGACAGCUGUAAUCAGUGGAAAACAUUUGAAAUGUAUCGGCAUAUUUCCCACUGCGAGCAAAACCACAGGCUGUUGACCAUGAGACGUCUGAGCGUGAACUUUCUUUAAAGAUGAAGCUCUUUGUGGAGGUCGCAGUUUGGACACAUCAGAAUUAAAUCCGAGGAAAAGUGUUAUUUAGGAACACAUUUCUGACACACCGUGGCGAAUUAAGCAUUCACUGAGCAACAACAAGACAACGCUUCCCAAACAAAGAAGCCGGUUUUGGCACAAGUUGUUGGCGGCAUUACAUUUCCCUCCAGCCUCAGAUAUGACACAUCCCGCACAGCAGCCAUACACUACGUGCAUAUCACACCAAUCCCAGUCUCAUUGCAUUAUUCCACUCAUGGCCCUCCAUUGUUAACUCUUGCAUAAAUACAUAGAUAAGAAAAUGAUUAAAUUUAAGUCAAGUCUUCCUCGUUCUACACUGUCGCCUUAAAUCAUGCAUAAAUGUGAUAAUUACCCACACUGGGGCAAAAGGGCCCAUCACUGCCACUUUAAAUCCAAUAAACGACACGACCUGAUCAUUAUAAUUGACCAUCUAUCAGGGUCAUUGAGGAGUCCAAUGUUGUUAGCCGCCGCUUAUAAUUCCUCUUGAUCAUUGCUAAUUACAGAAAGUGGGAGAAACCAAUAUUCCGGAUAGUUAGAGAGCAGCUGCCAACCAUUUCAGGGAGGUAGGACGGAGUCAGUCACACGCUUUGUGUUUAAGACGCUGAGAUUUAAGGUUUUUAAGACCCUUUAUAUCAAUAUGUUGUGUGGUCCUGAAUCAAACCAGAUGUCAUCGUGUUUUUGAGAGUUUUCAGUUUGACUCCUCGGUCCUGACAAACUUAACAAUGUUACUAUUAAGAUGAUUAAGAAUGUGAAAUAACGUAGUUAGGAUUGAGCAAAACCAUCAACCAAAUCUAGUGAGUAAAUAAACGAAGCUUCACUUUGACUGAUAACUCACUCUGGAUUUUGGUUUUUCAGUCUUAUUUUUUUAAUCUUGGAGUGUGUAAAAUUAGAGUGUGUCUUUUAAUUAGGGGUGGUACCGAAUAUUAAUACAGAAAUACACAGUUAAAUUUGACUAAUGUGACAAAGUUAAUAUAUUAGGGCUGAAUGUUGAUAUUUAAAUACCAGUUAGACUCACUGCGUCACUAUUCAGUAACUCCUCAUGGUGGCGUAAUAACAAGAAGGAUUAAAUGUACAUUAAAUGUAAAACAGCUGUAUUUUUAUUGGUGUUUAUGAGCAAUUUUGUCUUGGUUUUUGCAUAAUCUAACCAAUCACAUUAACUUUAUCUGUGGACAUGUUGUCAUGGUGCGAACGAUCGUGUAGUUGGUUGUUGUAGGGCUGGGCGAUAUGCCCUCAAAUUAAGAUCAUGAUAUAUUGGGCAAUUUUUUUGGUAUUCAAGUAUUGGUAUUGAAGUAUUUCUGAAUAGACGAUAACUACUCCACAAGCUGCUCACCCCCUCCCACAUUAACUUCAUCUACUUCAGUCACCGCUCCAGCUGCUCCAACUUUUGAACCAUCCUCCAUCUUCUCACCUGUCUUCCCUUGUCUUAAAGGGACAUGAGACCAUCACAUCCAAAACCAACUUUGAUUUAUUUAUUUAUCUAUUUGACACCAAUAUGGGCAAAUGAUGUCGGUUAUUGUCGUAAAUUUCAGUAUCGGUAAAUUAUCAGUUCGCCCAGCCCUAGUUUGUUGUUCGCGCCUGAUAUCUCCAAUAAUAACAUUAGAAGCUUCUUUCUGACGAUGUGUUGAACUCCUAACUGAAACACAGGUACACACAGGUAACGCCCAUAAUAGGAAAAGAGCGCCGGAUGCAGUGGGACAACAGUGGAAAAAAGAUUAGAGAUGAGCUCUCAGGAAAUAACGGCGCGAGAAAAAAAAAUGUCCCUGCUCUUUAUGCUGAGACUGGAGGAAAAGUUUAGGGAUGAUGGCUCCAGAUUACAGAGAGUUUGACUCACCUGUGAGGGAUAGACUUGAUGGUCCACAGAGUCUCAUGUGACAAUUAAGCGGGUAAUGCAUUUUUAUGUACUCCAAACUAGUGUGUUACUCUAGACUUCUAGUGAUGCUUAUUCGGCAGAAGUUUAAGAGGAGAAGUUGACUGUAGAAGACCCUGCAGUGGUUAUUUACACAGAGGAGAAUAUCACUGUAACUGUCACAGAGACACUAUUUUAAUAUGUUGAUUUUCUGUAGUUCGCUUAUUUAAUUUGCAGACCAAAAACAGUUACAAUAUCUAAAAAUUCACUCGUCUGCAUUGCAUAAAACCUAUUUUUACCUUUUUAGAGUAUUUUGUAUGAUUAUUCCUGUAUUUAUAAUAUUACAUCCUUUAAUCUUGUUUUUUUUCAUUUCAUACUUUUAAAUCUUAAGAAAAACUUGUUAACAUGGAGGCAGGUUUAAAGGAGUAUGAAAUAAGGACUCACCUGUGCUUUAAAAACCCUGACUUGUAUUACCGUUUUUUUAGUAGUUUAAAUGAGAAAAAUGGAGCUACAGAUGUAUUAUAUUGUAACCCAGUUAACUCCAUGUUAUACUUUAAAGCAGGUUAAAUAAGAAAGGCUUUGGAUCGACUCAGGGGAGAUCAGCCGUCUGCUCAUGAAUUUCAUUUGGCCCUGUAAUGUUCUGCGGGUAUAUGAGGCACACUUAGCACUCCAUUUUUACACAGAUGUCACGUAUGCAGACGACCUCUAAUCACAUUUUAAAAAAGCCCAAAUAUUCACAUACAGUAAACGCAUAUUGCUACCUUUUUAGCGUUGCACAUUUUAAAAUUGCAUAACCUCUGCCAGCGUCUGCAGCCCGUUUCCCCCCGGUUCUGUUCACUGGGGCAACAAGUCACAGAGAGAGCGCUCAGUUUAUUGAAAUUUUAUGGAAACAGCCGUACCCCCUUUCACCACCACACAAUUACGUAAAAGCCAUCCAGCCCUUGUGUAACCCUUUUUAUAGUAAUUCAUUUAUGACUCCAGUCACAAAGGGGGGGCGCCUGUCCUGCCACAAACACCCUCAAACAUGUGUGGAUGGCAUGAAGAUGAAACCCACAAUACACACAAGGGCACAGCUCUCAUCAAGACAUUCCUCUUUUCUUCAUAAGCACGCCAUAAAAUAUUUCAUUCAGCCUUUUACAAUCGACUUGUUUCAUUACUAAGUUGUAGGUUUUAUUUCCACGGGCAGGAAUGACAUAAGCAAGGCUCAUUUGGGUAUUUCAAAAUGUUUCCUUGAUAGAAAACACGCCGUUACGACGGCUCCAUUUGAAAGAGGGGAGACUAUUAGAGGACGGACAAACUUCUUCGAGAAGCCGCAAAAGCUGCCAGAGACAGAGAAAUAAAAGCAAAAUGAAACAAAGAGUGAGUGAGUGAGAGAGUGAGUGAGUGAGGCUGCUGGAGUCUCUCCUGAGAUGAGUAUGAUGAUUGCAGCCACAUUCCUCUGCAGAGCUAAAACCCUCCGAGGCUUUUGGAUCGUGAAAACCUACUUCUCCUCUCUUUAUAGUACAACACUUAAGCAGCGCGCCACUUUCCUUUUUUUUCCACGCUGAACAUUGCUCACAUCGCUGUUCCCUGAAGCUUGAAAGCACAACAUUUCUCAGCCAGCAAACUCCCACUGGGACCAAAGCCCAGAGAUGGAAAAGCAAAGGAUAUGUUUUAUUGGACAGUUGCAGACAAAUAAAUCUAAAUAUGUAUUUUGGUCAUGUUUGUGUGCCGACUGCGUCCUGAGGGAGUUGAAAUGAUUAUAUGACAUAAAUAACAGUGCUGUAGCAUGAUAUUAGGUCACAUGUUUACAUACAGGGACCUAAGGUCAGGGGAGAGAAUAAUUCAAACACUAUUUCACUGCUUUUGAAGUGAACACUGUUUGGGUAGUACAUACAUGGUGCUAGGAGCAUUGCUUUGCAGUGUGCAUGGACUAUUAAUGAGAGAUGGACCCGUAGAGUCAGGUAAAACACACAUAAGUGGAUAAAAGUCAGAGGAGCCUGAGAGGCACAAAUCAACCUGUCCAGAGAGGGGGUGGGCGCCUGGGCAGGCGGUGGGUCACCCUGAAUGAAAUGGUUUAGGCUCACUGAUCUGCGUGAAGGAAAGUCAAUGGGAGGUGUCAAUGAGAGGGCAGGCGGGGACUCGAGCAAUCACAUGUCCUGUGAUUGACACGACCUAACCUGGGGGGCCGAGUGGGAUGUGGGAGUGGGGUGGCCCCCUAAUAUGGCCUCAGCUGACACCACCUCAUAGGAGCACAGUGAAUUAUGGGCCGGGAGUGUACUCUAGGUCAUGUGAUCUAACCUCCUCUGAUGUUUAAUUUAGCGGUGCAAACAUAUGCUUUCAUUUUAAUUACAGGUGAUAUUUUUUUGUGUAGGUCUUCACAGUAAAUCACCAAUCACUGCGAUCAUUACAGCGAGAGCAUUAACUGUAUUACACAGAAGUCUGAGGUUACCCCCACAGAUCAGAGGAAUUUAUGCACAUGCAUCGCCUUCUCCUUCAGUGUGUCCACAUUGUACCUUCUGAAUGGAGGCCUGUGAGUAAUGGCCGUACUUCAGAGUCAUCUUGAUGCAGUUAGAUGAUAUUCAGUAUUAUCAGCAGGAUAUCAGUGGUGGAAGUGAGAAGAUUGAAGAGUUCAUAUUUGGUAUUAGCAAGAAAAUCUGCCCUAAAGUGAUGCGUGAAUUAUUGCUUGUAAUUACAACCUUUGUCAUGGAGUAUGAGUUUGUGUCUGAAACAGAUAAAAAUAACAACUUAUGAGUUUGGAAAGUAACGGUGAUGUAAGGAGAAGCAAAAUAAUCCUCCUCUAAUGCUCCUUAUUUGAUUGAACAUCUCCAGAACAGGAAAGAAAACUUCCACUCCAGUCUUUGAGAUUAUUGGGAUUGAUAAUCAUGUGGUCCUCUGUCUGUGAUGAUGUUCUCCACAUCACUAUUAGCACUGGUAUCAACCAAAGAGUUGGUGUAAAUGGAAAAGUCAUAGAAAAUAUCGACAUAUCAAACAUUAGCAUAACCCUUUGUUGUACUUUAAAUUAUUAUAUUAUGGGACAUGUUACAAACACAGGUUUCAUGUAAAACAUUAAAAUAUAAACCACGAAAAACAGCUGAUAUGCAUUUGUUGAUAUUCUUUUAUUGAUCACACUUCAUGUUGUUCUUGCAGUUGGGUGAGCAGUAUUGAUAAUAUCAACAAAUGUCUAUUCUAUUUUAAAUUCCUUUAAAAAUAAUAAUAAAAACACGCGCUUGUGAAAGUUUCAAACUGCAGCACCUUGAUAUUUUAUUAGAGUCCGUUAAUGAUUUCAAUAAAACAACUUUAAAGAGAACAGCUGUAAUUUAUUAAUUUGACCUGAUCUGUUCGCUGAAGGACUCUGUUACAGGUUCCUGGGUGGGUUUUUGUUUUGCCGAUAUCUUACCUGGUUAGUUACGGUUAACCACUGACUUCUCUGUAUUUGUAUGUGGUGGUUAAUUGGUAGAUAACGAGGACAGUCGGUUGUCGGGUGUCUUUUCUGACGUAGACUGUGAGCUGGUAUCGUUUGAGCCAAGUGGUGUUUGUGUUUUUAUCUCCUAGCUCUGUUAUUCACAUUUUAGCUCAACUUGUAGCAUCGCAGUGUUGGAUUACUGGUGACUGCACAUGCUCAGUUGUGUGUCUCAUGAGGCGUGAUCAGAUCCAGUAAACGAGCGCGGACUCUGGGAGCGUGUUUCAAACAACGAUGAAAGUAUUGAUAUUUAUUACACCUAUUGUUGACGGUUUAAUCCCAUAUUUUCCUUUUAUGCAGCUUUAAAGGAAGUUUCUGUUUUAUUUUCUUUUGGUCCCUUUAACAGUUAUUGUUAGGCUUUAUUAAUGUUGGCAUAUUUCGUAUUAUUAACGAUCUACUUCCUUAGACUUUUUGCGUAAAUGAUAGUAGAAGUCAUCUGAGUUACUUCUGCUCAAUAGCAUCUUAACCAGAGGGGAAAAAAUCCAAACGAUUAUAGUUCUUAAUGGCCUUUAAAAUUAAUGAUAAAACACCAUAGAUAAUCUAUUAAGGGACUUAUUAUAUGCUGUAUAAUAAACGCUUAAAUGUACCUGUGAACUGGCAGACUUUCAACAUAAUCUCAGUUUUUAAUGAAGCAAAUAUUGAAAUAAAACUCUGACAUCUCCUCAGCCUGUUUCCCAAGGAUCCUCUAAAAGAACAAAAUAAAAACUCACAUUUUCUUCAAACUUCCCAAACAGCUCAGUCUUUGAAGAAAAAGCAAACUUGGAAAAUAAAAGUGGCAAACUGCACUUCAGAGAAAUCCAGCCUCCUUUUUCUAUCUGCCACCCGUGACAAGUGAGCCGUGCAGCUUUGCAGAAUUAUAUAGCUGUGUGUCUAAUUAUUUCUUUUCAAGUCCAUACAAUAAAAGACUGCAGGCUCUUUUUUCUCCUCCUCCUGGGGUGAGGACAGCAGGAGGAGUGCCCUCCAAAAUAUUCCCUCUCAUGCUUCUGACAUGCACAUCUGUCUGCACGUCAGCGUAACAACUUUCUCGACAUGAAAAAAUAUGGAGGGUGCAAAUGCAGAAAGGGUGCAGUGGUGACACAUUUUAGUUUCAUUGUGCGAAUCCAAUCUGAGAGACUUUCUUAUUUGUCUUAAUUAUAAAGUAAUGUAAUUUCUCUUUCAGAACAUUAACAUUAAAAAAGUCCUUUUUAGAUGUUUUGAUGCAGGUGAAUUUGUGUGUUUUGGCUGUGGUUUCAGUGUCUCUGUGUCUCCAGUGUUUCCUGCAUUGAGAGAAAGCUGUGGGUAAAAGCUCCUGCUGCAGUGUGGUCACAAGGGGGUAGCAUUGACACAGUUGUUUAAGCCCUUCAGCCGGCAGCCCAGCAGCAGCAGGACAAACUGCCUUUGAUGUAAUUGAGGUCUUAGACCUCUUAGAAAAGCAUAUAUUGGUUUGUAUGUGGAAAUGUUCAAGGAACAAUGGAUUUCCAUAAGUGGAUGUAAAAUCGUAUUUGGAGCAUCCCCGGCACGCUAACCGCUCUCUAAACAAUAGGAAAAAGGACUCCUCCAGGACGGGAUGUGUAAUUCUGAGGCACUUACAGGCUGGAAAUGUAAUGGAAUGUAGCAUUAGGAUUAAAUGUGUGACUAAAAGAUACAGACUUGACUAGUUUUGGGCCCUUUCCUGGGUGAUUCAUUCAAAUAAAUGUGCAGAAAUUCCAGCUCCAGCAGCACUAUACAUCCUAAUAGAAGUCAGCACGCAGCAUAAAAACACAUCUUUUUGUCCCUCUAUCAAAGGAAAUAUUAAAAGUAGAUUUCACUGCAUUGUGUAGAAUUACAGAUGUAUUUAUUUUGUAUAUGUAAUAUCAUUUAUUUAUUCAGCCUUGAGGAGGAAAAAAAACACGCUCAGAGGAAGGGCAGGAGAUCCAGCAUGUUUGGAUGAAGCUGUUAAUUAUCAAUCAUUCCAGCACAGCCACACAAGUAUUCCCCUAACUAAGAUUUUCGUCCAUCCAUCUUAUCAUCCAAAGUAAUACUUAAGAGCAGGAGUCUGGCGGGGACUCAUAAAUAAAGGUUACCUAUUUACAUAUUCAGUUUAUCAUGAAUAUUGCAUACUCUGUACAUAAAAAUUCAAAUGCAGUGUUUAUGAAAUAUGAUCAUGCAGCAAAUGUGAGAAGACACAGAGCACAGCCCAUUCAUACACAGGGGGGAUUUAGAGCACUCCUCUGUGAUUAAUAAAGGAUGAGAUCCACAUUAGACCUGCAGGAUUAAGACUUUGGGAUUUUCAGCCACUCUGGAAUUAUAUCAUAUAUAUAAACUCCCUGAUUUUAAGAUAUAUUUACUAAAUCUUUGAAUAUUUUUUACAUCAAUGUCAAUAUUCAAACCCUAUAUAUCUACAUGUAACUUAAAAGUAGGAGAAUUAAAUAACAACUGUAAAAUAACUAUGGUCACUUAUUUUAAACCUUCAAUUUAUAUUUUUCAGGCAGCAAAUCUACACAGUAUUGGUGUUUAAAUCUGGAAAAGUUAGUGCAUGAUUGGGGUGUAUUGACUGCUCAGCUUUGUUUGAUGCUGAUGAACCCAAAUUAAGCACGCAUUAGAGCUCCAAUUUCAUUAUCACAGUAACAUUUGCAGUAAAACAGAUGGCCAAAUUCUACUUUUUUAGCAAUGCGAUGAAUAAGAAGUACAUUAGAUAUAAAUAAGCAGGGCUUUUUUCAUUUUACGCCAGUCCUAGUUUAACUGCCAUACUCUUGGAUGAUGUGAAUGUAAUGUGGUGAAGUUAAAGCAUCGACCCUCUGUUUAUUCUGUGACCAUUUAGUAGAGAUGCUCCGAUCCAAUCCGAUACGAUACCUGGGCUGAGGGUAUCGGCCGAUAUCUGAUACCGAUUCAAUACUACUGUUGGAUGAAUGAACUGUGACAUUGCACUGUGAGUGAAGGGGUUAGACUUGACAAAAAAAGGUGACAAAUUAACACAGAUAUAAAUUUAUUUAUCAACAAAUAACAAAUUGCACAUAAGCAUAAAGCAAAAGGAAGUCAGACUCCCAUGUAUUAAAAGAAAAACUAAUUAUUCAUCAGAUAUCCGAUCCAGUUAAUUUGUCAAUAUCGGAGCCAAUAUCCGAUCCAAAUAUCGGAUUGGUGCAUCCCUACGAUUUAGCGGUUAAAAUUGCCCUGUGGAUGGAGGACGGACAUGUUGCAAACACAGGUUCAGGUUCAGGUUCAGGUUACUUUAUUAAUACCCGAUGGUAGAUUUGUUCUGUCGUGAAAUAAAGCGACGACGUCCAUUUAUACAAGUUACAGUACAAAUAUAAAACAACCACAAGACAGAACACAUGAUAAAAGCUCCCCAAGGCUCCCCAGUCAGGACACAAGAGAGGGAGAAAAACGCCAAUAAAGAAAUGCAAAUAAAUAACCCAAACAAACAACCUCUGGAUACAAACUAAGGUAAAAACAAGUUUAAAACCAACAUAAAUAAGUAAGUAAAUAAUACCUCUGCAGUAUGUGAUAAUUGUGCAAAAUUAUGUGCAAAAUCUCUACACACAGAAAUUAAAGCAGAUAAACUUAAAAUCACGUCCACUCUGUAGUUGUUUAUUUAUCCCUCUCUAAUGUCCAUGGCACAUCUUCACAGAACAUGUAGUCCUGGACUAGUGCAUGCAUGUUUGGCAUGAUAUAAGACGCACGCACCUCCACACAGACACACCUUACAUACUAAAAAAAAGAAACGGCUGUUUGGUUUGCACAUAAACCAGCUGAGGGGAAUAAUGGCGUAAAGAAGCAAACAGUGUGCAGCAAGUGUCUCAUCUCCCCCUCAUGAACUAGUUAACCCGAAAGAAUACGAUCUACAAAUGUGUUUCAGCAAAAGCAAAUUACCUGGGUUUUGUGGAGGGGAACUAAUCUCUCCAAGCAUGACACUGGACAGGAAAGGCCUCUUACUGUUAUUAUGAUGUGUCGGCUUGUGUUAGAUGGAGGGCCUUGAUGGCCGCAUCAGGAAGCAGCGUUGAAGCCCCUCUGCCAUGACAGCGCUCUGAUGGAUGUACAGGUGGUGGAGGGGCAGGGAAGAUGGAGGUUAGAAAGCAGGAGAUGAGGAGGAGAAGGAGGGUGAUAUGAGGUGCAGCGGGGGUUAUAUACUAUAGUAAAUACCUACAAACGCAGCGCAUUAGUAGUAGGUGCAGAGCCCGAGAUAGCAUUAGCAUGCACGAUAAAGCUUCCAAUUGGACAGGCCAUCUCGGAAACAAAAUAAAAGCCCUGUGUGGUGAAUUUCCAAAGGCUGUUCCUUAUGACCUGAGAUGAUUUGUUCUCUAUAUGAAACAGACUGAUGAUAACAGGCAAUCUGAAAGUCAUUUAGGAAAUCAAAAUAUCUGUACAUCAAACUCUGACACAUGAUGCAGCGCUAUAGACUCCUCCGAACAACACUACAGCGAACUGAGAGCAGUGACUUUGGGAGAAUUAAACCAAACAGUCAAACUAUCUCAGGAACAAUAAGCUGUUUUAGUUUGACACUUUAAGAGAGCGGGUUCGAGACAGUCUGUUCCUUUCCUGCAGAAACAUGGAGGAUAAAUUAAUAAUUCUAAAUCUCAGUUUGUUUGACCAGUUAUCCUCUGACUAAUCCACUGAAAUUUAUAUUUAUUAAGCUUCAGAAGUUGGAAUAUUUUCUCAAUCCAUGAAGGAAAAAAAAUCAUCGGUUAUUUAAAUCCAUGUUUGGAGAAAGAUAUUUCUCUCUGGACAGCGACAUACCUGUCUUCUCCUCCCUGAUCUGCAUUACUACAUGUAACCUUGUCGACUCCACGUGUGCAUCAUUAGUCUGCGUGUGUUUUUGUUACCACAGAAGUAGUUUUGUUAGAUUAUGCUGGUGUGGAUAAGAAACGCUGCAGACACACUUGUUGGUGCAUCAGGAUGUUUUUCUGCCUCGCACAGUUGGGGGUGUCUCACUCGCUGUAUCCACACUAAAAUAUUAAUAGCCGGUUUUUCUCCACGUCAGCAGGUUGUGAUUUGAUUUCUGGUUCAGAAAUGCAGUUUUGGGCGGCGGAUCUCCCACUUCCUCCUCACCCUACUCCUCCGGGCUCCCAGGAGGCUCUGGGUCAGUACGGUGUUAUGGAGAAAGAUGGUGCUCCUCCUUGGCCCGGUAAAGAUUGGGGGUGCCGCCUCACAGCGGGACAGGUGUUGCGAGCCGCACACAGGGGAGUAUCACCGGGCUGCAGCGAGCGCCUGGCCCACAUCCAUCUCUGUACCUUUGGAGACAAAUGGGAAAAUGUGACCCAAACAGUCCAACAUCAGAGCCAUGGCAGGAGUGAGCUCUAACAAUAGGGAGCAGCCAGGGUUCCCCAUAUCAUUACUAAGACACACUCUGCAAUUAAUUCUCUGCCCAAAUGAAUGCUGACUGCUUGCAGCACACCUCUCUGUGGCCAUAGAAACCGAUUAAUAAUGCAGAAUGGGGAGAAUAAUCCUGAUCAGAAUCCUGCUGCACUGAUAUAAAACCGCCUUCAUUUCUUGAUCAACAUUUUUGUCAUCUUGCAAACCCGACUUUUUGCAGCCUUUAUUGUAUAAAAUGGUGUGAUCUUUCCACUGCCCUUUGUCUUGGAAGAAAAAUUAAUUCUCAUUUGCAUUACCACGUCUAAAUGUCAGCCACCGAUAUUUUGUUAGACAUUAGUAAAGCUGGCAGCGAGAGGCGCUGGAUAAUUGCACUCAGCCUAGCAGAGGGAUUUACAUAAUUUCAGAUAGCAAUUAAAGAAUCCUUGGGAAUUUUCUUCCUGGCCUCCCUCUCUCUUUCUCUCUCUCUCGCUCUCUCUCUCUCUCCGGCUCACUUCCACGGCGGCACAAAAGAAGCAUUCGUUUACAUUAAGCUCCAUGCUCCUUGCUGUUCAUUUGCAUGAAAUUAAAGGUUUUCAUGAUCUUGAACAGCGGGGUAACAUUUAAAAUGCUGUUUUAAAGCCCUCACCUUGGAAUAAUGAAACGCUUCAAUUUUUUUGAGAAGGCAGUGGGAGUUCAUUGACUGCCUGUCCACAGCAAAACUUUUCCAUUUCCCCUUCACUCACGCUAAAUAGUACAAUUAUACUUCUAAUUAAUUAAAAAUCCUGAAAGUUUUCUUUUGUUUUGGCUUCCCGAGGACUUAUUCUUCUAUACUCUAACUAUGUAUAUCAGUAUUUUACUCACCUGUCAAGCCCUUUAUAUACAUAUGUAUGUAUAAAAAAGGUAAUCACUCAGUUUAGUGGUUAUUAUAUUUAAAAAUGUGGAUUUUUUUGUACAGCUACCUCCUGCAGUAUUGACAUCAUUUGCUUUUAUGCCUUCCACUUAAUUCUGCAUGCCUUGCAAAACAACAUGCAUGCACACAUGACAUCAUACAUCCAGAGAGGCAGUCAGCAACUGAGGAUCUGAUCAUGGCGGACAGGAGACGGAGAAAUCCACAGUGAGGCUUAAUUUACAGCAGAAUGAUGCUAACAGUGCAACAUGUUAUUACGACAUGUUAUGAAGCUGCAGAGAAGACUGAAGGCUGGUGGUGGUACUGGCUCUGCUAGGGUUAGCCUCUUAGUAAACAAAUUCAAUGUCUUCAUGAACAUUUUUGUGAAACUAGUCCUGCCUCCAGUCUGUCUGGAUAAGAUAAGAUAAAAUAUACCUUUAUUAGUCCCACAGGGUGAAAUUCCAAGAUUACAGCAGCAUAAAUACAAAUACAAAAGAGAAUUAAAGGAUAAUAUAACUGUGAAUAUUUUCUGUAAAAACAGUUAAAGUAAUCGUGCUGUAAAUCUGGGUGUGACUGUACAGACUGGCAGUGAUUCAGAUGAGCAGAAAUGUAAACAGACAGCAGCAUGAAGAGGAAAAGAGACACUCUUUAAAAUUAUAAUUAUAAUGACCGCUGUAACUGCAGAUGUUCAAAACAUCAUUUAGUUUGUUUUAAACUGAGCUGCCAUCUUUGUUGUUUACAGAUAAACCCAUGUGUCAUCAUAUUUUCACUCGUUGAAACCCCGCCCCCUUUUGAGAUGAAAAGGGGCGGGGUGGAGUAAUAUCAGUCCACCUGCCAUAAACAGGAGUAUGAGCUUUCUAACAUCAGGCCUCUACCUCUCACUUUUUACCAGACUGGUCUUCAACAUGGAUAAUUAGUUUAUUUUAAUUAAUUAGGGAUGCACAACAUUAGAUUUUGGACUCGAUCAAAACAUAUAUCACUCCAUUUUCUUCAGUCUCCUUGGAAAUGCAGAGAAUUCAGUGAUUUUCUUCUUAAGCUCCUUUUUCUUUUGAUGGUCGCCGCUUUAUUUCAUAUAGAUUAUAAAUAUGAUAUUUAAUUUUACAUUUUAGUGCAUUAGUGUAAAGACUGUCUUUUCCCUCCCCUUCUCAACACCUGUGCGAUUUCUCCAUCUGUUUCCAACUCAUUUAAAAUUCUGUAAUGCUGAUAUUGUGUUGGUAAAGUUGUGCAUCUGUAGUUCUUUUCUGAUGAAAAAUAUCUCACCCUGCUUCAGUCAGAUAUAUCAAUAACUGUCGAUACGUGCUGUAAAAACAGUUAAAAUAAUCUGUCUGGUUUGCCACCUCAGUGAUUAGGAUUGUAACUAAAGAUAUUACAGUUUUAGACUUUUUCUGUAGUCAUUGCCUUGUUUGUUUUUUAGAUUCACUGUUAAUUCUGUCUGUUUUAAAGCCAGUAAAAAUCCCUCACAGGAGCUUUAAGUGCAAAACCAGUAAAGCCAUGUCAUAAAAAAUCACGUAAUAUUAAUUGAUUAUGAAGCGGUGCAGAGAUACAUAAUUUCUCUAUGAUUUUGGUAAACUAAAAGUUAUUAUCAUAACCAUCUAUCAGCAUAAAAAGGGAAAAUAAUACAGGCGAUUGUAUUUUGCUUGAUGUGAUGAUAAUUUUCAUUUGGAUAAUUGUUGGAUUGAUCCUUUUAGUUCUGCUGUACAAUACUGUAGAGAAAGACUUUCUUUAAUAUGUCAUAAAUACAUAUUCUGAUAUCUGCUUCCUGCCAGUAUGAAAUGAUGUGGGGACCAGAGCUGCAGAGAUAAACCUCUCACAUACAUAUCUUUAAUUAGGUCCCUGUGGGUCCCGGUGUUAUCUGCCAUGCUGAUUAGACCCAACAUUAACUUGCUUUAGCCCUCAGUCUGUUAUCAUACGUCUGUGUGUGCGGUGACAAGAGCGCUAAAAUCGAGCCGGACAUCUUUUUUUUCCUGUGCGCGUUUCUAUUUCUUUGAGCUGGAAAAGCACACAGCUUUAAAUCCCUCACGCUUUUCUCCGUGUGGCCCGGAUGACACAUUUGAUGCGGGUACGGAUCAUCAGGAUUAGUUAAACCAGAGCCGUCCUUCGGGAGGUCCGCGGCGGCUAAGAAGUCCAGAAUAUGACUGUACUUAACAUUAUUGUGAGUUUGCAGCUCUCACUUUGCCGUUUAAUCAGACAACUCCGCAGUGCCAGCUCUAUGAUCUAAAAAAGCAGUCGUGAUGAAUAGCAGCUCUUUGUUAAGACAAUAAAAGCUUUGUCACAGAGCUCCGAAAUAAACACAAAGCCUCAUCUGAACAAUACCCUUCACACUUCUUCCUUGAUUCCCCCUCCGUCCUUAAAGGCAUCACAGAACAUUUUCACACUAGUCGUCCUGCCGCUGUGAAAUAAAUUGUGACAGUAACUCAAUAUGAAGUGAAAUAGCUGAGAAAGCCUUGAGUUCACUUGCGCUGACAGUGCUGUUUAAUUCCAUCUUGUGCCAGCCUGACAUUUCUGCUGCCACUAAAUAUUAAACAUGUGUACCCGUUUCAUUUGCAUCUGGUAAUGAGGUGGGAGACAGCGCCCAACUGGUCAAGCUUCUCCCUUCUCUCUCCUGCGCUCGUACCUCCAACACUGCCUCAUGGACAAGGGUAAACCAAGAGAAAUAUUUAGAGUGGAGCUGAGACAGAAAAGGAAUAGGAAAAAAAGACGAGGGGAGGGGGAGGGGGACGUGAAGGAUAGAGCACCCUUGUGUGUGUGUGUGUGUGUGUCAGUGCGUGUUUGUGUGUGUGCUCUCCAGAAUUCAGAAACCGGUCUGAAAUGACCCCGGCUCUCAGGCAGCGUCUGCUUUGGCUGACAUUUCUCCCUGAAUCUUUUAAGAUGCAUCCCUUGCUGCAAAAUGCAUUAGUGGAGAGAGGAGAAACAGAGGCACAAGAGGAGAGGGUUAAAUGUGAUUGCUCUAAAUGUCAUCACAUCUUCAUAAUGCAAUAUAUAUUCAUGAUCCGGCAGUCCAGGAGGGCAGACAUCACAGUUGUGUUCUGUAAUUCAAAUGUUUUAUCCCAAUUUUGAUUCACCGUACAAUUCUGGGAGGACGGUUUGAACCGAGGUGUGCAUCCGUUUCUUUUUUUCAGGUGUUAUUUAUGUGGAUGCAGCUGUGGCGUCUGAGGUGAACGCCGCGUGAUGUGGUGUUAUUGGAAACGCUCAGAGAUGCACACAGAACAGGAAUGCUAGGUUAGCUGUUAGCCGUGUAUCAUCUGUUUACGCUUCAAAACGAACAGAGGAAAACAUGCAAACAGUGAACUUAAGGAGGUCAUAGAUGAUUUUUAGAUAUUAACAAGAGGUCGCUUUUGAGGAUACAAAGAUGAAAAGGAAUUGCACAAGGGUGAGAAUACAAUAAUGCUUUGAAAUAACAUCAUGACCGUGUUUUCUGAAGUGAUCUGUAUCGGCCUUUUAUUUCACAGAUGGCCAAUAAAAUUACUCAAUCAGAAGUCUGCGACUCUGCUGCCCGUUGUCUUUCUCCUGGAUCUAUUUUAUUGCAUCACUUUUUGUCACCUAAUGUCCCGCCCACAACACUAUCUGACCGGCUAUUUAUCCGAUUUUUCAUGUUUUCAUCAUCUACAAAUGAAUCACUGCUCAGAAGACGAGCUGUGGACUGACCUGCUGAGGGGGUGGGAAAUCUGAAGUACAGAGCAAACUUCACAAAGUAAAUCUCUUAGGUCACUUUGAAAUGGUUUAACUUUGUUUGAUCUCAGUAUUUACUCUGGUGUUUUCACUUAGAGAAGUAGUAACUAUUUAUAUCUUACUGUUAAGAAAACAUGAGCAAAUAUAAAAAUUUUACUAACGAUAGUUUUCUCUCUUUUUUGAGUGAUGCACAAUAUUGUCACUUAAUGUUAUUGUCAAAAUCCCCCCAAAACAUAAGGAUAUUAUUAUUUGUCAAUAUCACACAUUAUGCCAUCUGUGCUUGUUUACAUCUGGAUUGUAGAUCAUAAUGGCAUUAUGGCAUUUGCUGAUAACUAGCAACUCUGAAGUUUAAUUGAUUUAGAUGACUCACAGAGAUCUCUGCUGGUUGGUUAUAGUAAUGAUAAUAACUGUAACAACAAACAGUAUCUGCAAUACCAACAAAGAACUGAAUGUAACGGUAUUAACACUGAAAAACCUUUUAGGCUGGAACUUUACAGAAUCAUAAACUAUCCCAGUAUCAAGUAAACUAUGAAUUGACCAGACAGUGAUACUGGACCGUUUUCCAACCAAUGUUUGAAAUCACAAACCAAAACAAUAGAUGGAAAAAGACGGACAAUUUCACAGCUAUCUACUAUCCAUUCAAAAGCACAAUAGGAUAUGCUUUUUAGGGCAGUCAAGAUUAUUACAAUAUUCGCCAAUCACAAUUAUUUUUCAUAUUCAUGAUCACCGUCAAUUAUUCAUUUUAUCCACAAAGUUGCAUAAAAUAAUCCGAGUCUGACGUCAUCAUGUUGCGCCAGCAGUCACAGCAUGCACUGUCACCAUCGCAGCUACACGUUGUUUACCUCUGUGUUUCGGAUUUAAGCUGAACGAUGACGGAGAGCCCGGUAACGUGGAGGAAGAGAUAUAUAAACUUUGCCAUAAAAACAUACCGGUCAAGAGCGCUAACACGACAAAUCUGAAACAACAACAACAUCUUGAAGGUACUUUACAACAUGUCUUUGACUAAAGAAGUUAAAGAAACCUUUUGUCUGUCAGUAUUUUCUAACAGUUUUAGCCCAACAGGCAGAAAUAAUGUGAGUUUGCCUCAGUGCCUGCCCUGAUGCAGCAGAUUGUUUAUAAUAAAUCCUCUUAAGAAGUGGAGAAGUUAGUUAAUGUCUUUGCCUAUCUCCUGAUGUUCAAAAAGUUAUUAAAUAUUCAUUUAGGUGUACAGUACAGAAUAGUCAGUGUAUAUGUGUUAUUAUUAAAUCUUAUUACACUAUGAUAGUAAAAUAUAAAGAAGGGAAAAAAUGGACAAUAGUAUCGUCAAUCGCAAUUAUUUGUCUGACAAAUAAUCGUCUCCAGAAAUUCCUAAUCGUGACAGCCCGAAUGCUGUUAUCCUAUUGUGGAAUAUAAACGAAGAGCUGAGAUAUACGCAUAAGGCGGGAAACAGAUCCACGACCACAUUGUCUUUGCAUGUUAGUCAUAAAUCUGAUGUUGUGUGAUUCUGGUUUGAUCAACAUGUUAACACGUAUUUUAAAGUCUAGUUCCAGUCAGUCAGUCUGUAUUUUAACAUGAUUUAAACACAGAGACUAAAAAGACUUUAAAUAACUAUCAGUCAUUACUCCAUCAUCGGACACUCUGCCUGCUCUAAAGUAAACACAUUUACCUUUUUACUGUUGAUAUCUCCUUCUCAUAAUUGGCUGAUUUCAUGGCGCUGAUGCUUGAUUCUGAUUCUUCAUUGUACCAGUCCUGUGUUUACAACAGAGGCGGCAGGUCCUCUGAUGUUGUAGAAUAAAAGCCGAAUAUUCCCUUUCCUCUGUCAGCCUCUCCUGACAGUGUACAGCCACUUUGAAAAGAAAUCAACAUCAGUGUAAAGGAAACUUUUACACAUUCACAUUAUUACUCGUGUGUGACUUCUUUAUUUUAUGUUUUUUUUAUUUAGUUUGAAAGGAGAUGUACUUCUGUCAUUGGCCUGUUUGGCAUCCCCACUCUACAACAGUUAAAGUUUAGAGACACCCUGCCUCUCUGUGGGGGCUUGUAUUGCUUUCAUAGAAUAAAUCAGAUAUGUCAGAGGAAAUCAAACCUUGAUCAAAACCAAAGCUGACUGUCGAGGAGGAACAGGAAACAUCAAAGAGCGUACAGUAGAAAGGCAGGGCUGGUUGAAGUUGGGUGCGUUUGGUUGCGUUUGAGGCGCAGGGAUGGAGGAGGAGGGUGGAUGUGUGUGUGUGUGUGUGGGGGUCCUAUUUCUUGUUAAUUCUCUUCAUAGGAUCUGUGGAGCACAUUCAGCAGUCAUGGAGAAUCGUGUCCAGUCACGGGCCUCCGGUGGGACUGGGUGUCCUGAGGUUUACUGUUGCUAGCUUGUCAUGUCCACGUCAACAGCACUUAUCGCCUCCCGUCUGAGCGCCGAGACAUUUCCCAGGCAUUUAGCUGCCUGUUUGUCUUCUCUUGAUUUCCCCUCCAAAUCUGUCACAUAUAGUCUUCACCUGACACCUCACAGAGUGUUCCUCUCUCAAACACUGUCAAAACACGCAGAUCCAGCAGGAAGAGAUAGCAGCAGGGAGCCGCAGAUUGCCAAAUGUUACACACUGAUCAGGCGCUGCGAAUAAUGACCUGCGUGGGCAAAACGGUCUGGGAUCAUUUGCUUCAUCAACACGCCGACUGCUCUCCAAAUAAGAAAAAAAAAAAAAGAACUGUUUGUGUUCACAGUUUUGGUGUUGCAGUUCAUUUGGACUCUGAGUUAUCAAGUGCCGCUUUAUUUAUUCCGUUCGCACAUUGUUCUCGUACGUCAAUAACACCGAGUCCAGAGUUUUCACAUCACCGAGACUUUCUCUGUCCUUUUCUUUUCUCAGAGUAAAAGUGCUGGCAUGAAAACAAUGCUCUUCUUCUUCUUCACAGCGAAGAAAAAAUAAAGGCCUGGCCCGGAAUCAAACGCUCCUCUCUUUUUGCUGCAUUUUUCUCUCCUUGGCGAAAAGCCCUUCUAUUAUUUCAAUAAGCUCUGGGUUUUAAUACAUUAUUGAUCUUAAGGUUGAACUACGGGCCACUGCAUUACCAGGACUCCAAAGCCCAUCAUGGCGUGACACUCAUGUAGUCGUGAAAAAUUAUACCAAUUAUGAAAUCAACCAACAACUAGCUCAAACAGCAAUCAAUUGUCACAUUGGAAAGCAUUUUGUCCCACAAUGCUAUUGGCUUUGUGGUUACACAGAAGGAGUGGGCGUUGGAUGUUUAAUGACUUCCAAAUACUGAUUUCUUUCUGUUUUUUCUUUUUUUUUCAAACACUUAUUACUAUUCACUCUGAAGCCAGCCUUCGAUUAUGUUUGAUGCUCUUUGUUGGGCGACCGUGUGCCAAUAAGACAAUAGCAUUAGCCAUUGAUUAGCCAUAAUGAGCGCCAAGGACUCAACACCGGCGUGCGCGCUUAAAAGCCUGCAUUAAGCUUAUGAAUUAUGAGAAGUGUACUAUAUACCAGUGCAUUAGGAAGAGAUGUUUUCAUUCUAAUUCUGCAAAUGCCACAAAGCUGGCCGAGAGGAGAGAAAGCCAUUUCUGGAGACGCUAAAGUGGGUGGUGGCGGGGGUGUAAAGGCGGCUGAGUGCUGGCGGGGUCAAGUGCGAGCCGUGUCUUUGACAGUGGCUGCCUGCCUGUGUUUCCAUAUCACAACGUUCAAUCAUGCAGUGCCCUCAUGCAGAAACCUUUAACUCAAUGCUCAUAAAUGCAGGCAGAGCUUCGCCGUCUGCAACAACCGAGUAUUUGUUGUGGUCACUGGGUAUUUUUCAUGGUUGUGCUUUCCGUGCUUAAUGCAAGGAGAAAGUAUUUUUCCAUCUGCCGAUAAAAGGUCAAGUCCAGUCAAUUUUUAUUUAUACAGCACCAAAUCAUAACACAAGCGCGGAAUAAGAAGGCGCGCAUUAGGAGAUUUCAGCCCUCAGAUGCUCUCCGCAGAGAGGCAGAUUGGGUAUGAAAAAGUACAAUUAAGGUCACCUUUAUUGUUUCCAAUCUAAAUCGCAGGUGUGACAUCUAAAUGACACUUUAAUGAAAAUUUCAGACAGGUUAUUUUGAAUAGUUUCCUAAAAGAUGCAGGAGGUUGAGCAGCGGUGAAUUGUAAGUGUCUUUGGGGGGGAUGUGUGUGCCUUGACGGGCGCAGGAAAUCUGAGCCAAAUAAAUGAAGUGGAGAUGGUAAUACAGUGUGUUAUAGCGGAGAGUGACAAGCCCGUUCCUCCCAUGAAGCAGCUGAGCUGGCAUUAAACAGACAAGACAUCCCGUUCAGUCAGUUAUCAGCCCAGGAAUAAUGAAGGAACAGGCCGGCGGACCAGGACGAGUCACCCUAGUCAGCCAAGUGGAGAAUUUAAUUUCGUGCAGGUUUCUCUGCAGCCAAGCAUUUCCCCCCCAUCGGAGGUCCGCUGGUGCUCGGGUGAGCGUGGACAACUCAGUGCACCCGACUCGGAGUCUCUGCGGCGCUGACAGAGAUGUGUGGUGAUGGAUUUUUCGAGUGGCUGGGGGAAGAGGGUGGACUUAAGUUUGGGAAGGGCUGUUAAAGAGGAGAGAGAGCGAUGACAAGCUAACUUCAGAGAAAAGUAAAAAAGCGAUCACUCGUGCUUCUCAUUUUCCAGAGAAUGGCUGCGUUAUUAAAUCAAAGACAGUGAAAUGAGAAAUGGGUCCUGUCUGACCCCGAGAUAUGUAGGAAGGAAAUAAUAUUGUCUGUGCUUAAUGUUACCCCUGCUCCACCAACCACUACUCCACCUGACAUGGCCACUUGGCCACUAGAUUUAAAUAUCAUACUGAAAACUAAACAUUAGGAUAUCUGCGGCAUUUAUCUUCCUGUUUUAUCUCAAACCUGAGUUCAAACAUCCUGCAGGGUUAAGGUUUUUAUCCCUGAUGUCUUUGAUAGAAACAGAGUCCAUGUCUGCUUGUGUCUUCAUAAUGCAUCACAGCCUUUUAGAAACGCUUAUUAUGUCCAAUUUCAGGCUUUGUAUUGUUGUUGUGAAACAGUGAGACAGCUGCUUUUGUACAAAGUCCACGUCCACAGCUCUUUUAUUUUUCACCCCCAGAAGAUGUUCCUCACAUAUUUAGCUCAGGAUGACUCUCAAUGCUGCACACGUCCUCUAUUUUUGUACAAAAUUAUCACUGUACUAAUUUACCGAGGCCAAGAGUGUCAUACCGUGGUCAGGUUAUCGAUGGCAGCGCCCUCUGCAGGAUCAAACAGCUGCAUCAUAUUUUAGACAGACUAUUGCGCCGAUAAACAGAAUAUUUUCAGUUUAGAUUUUGAACUUUUCUGGACUCUAAAUAAAAAGAACAACACUGCUGUCAAAACUAGAUUAUCUCAAUUUGAUAUAUGCUGUAUUGCUUCAGUCGUAGUCUUCUGUUAAGACAAGUACUGUACAAAAACGCUGCCAUGUUCUGUGUAACACAAGUAUAAAAGUGAGUUUCCGUAUCUUAGAUUCAUUUCAGAGUUGAUGGAGGUAAUUUUAGGUGAGGGUGAUAUUAGCACAGUAUUAUUAUCAGACUUUGAGGAUUUUAAGUCUCCGUAAACAAAACUUUUACUUAAAUUAACUUAAAUGUUUUACUUUCAAGGACAAAACUUCUUUUAAAUCUGUGUCUUACAGUGACCACUCAAAAAAAAAAAAAGAUAAUUAGGGGAAAUAAAAAGAUGUGUUACAACAAAAAAAGAUCAAUUUUUGUAAGUAUACUUGUUCAGUUUGUUUAUUUGAAACACCAUUAGCUCUCACAAAGUGGUUGCUAGUCUUCCUGGGGUCCAAAAACUGAAAAUCGCAAUACAAUUACAUUUUAACAAUUAAUUAACAAUAAAUACAAUUAUAGAUCCAAUUCAUGAUUCUUCACAACAUUAAAAUCAUUCUAAAAUCAAUGCUCUUUUUAGUUCAUUCAUACGUACAAUUUGUUUUAAAGUCCUUUUAAGAUAAUAUCUACUGUUUAUUUGCUGUGUGCUCCUUGGCAAUUGAUUCCACAUUUCUAAAGAUCUAAAUAACACUGUUCUCCUCAUACAAUUGGACUUUAUGAAUAGAACAAUUAAAUAACCAGAGUGAACCUGCUGAGUGACGUGGUGAUGACAAUAGCCACUGAGUUGAGUUUGUAAGUUCUGGCCAAGAUUAGGAACUGACGGAGAUGCACAGAACAAAGCUGCAUCAUCUGCAGACAGUAUUACAUCCACAUUCAUAACAUCAUCAGACAAAAACUGAGAAUAAAAGUGGACCCAAACAGCUGCCCUGUGGAACUCCACAUGAUAAAUAUUUGUGAUUAGAAAAGCCACCAUUAAAAAAGGAUAUCCAGUAUAACAAAAAAGGGAUUGUCUCUUAUUUUGAAGGAAUAGUGACAUAUAGAAGGUAAAGUUUUGGCCUGAACAUGAUGAGACACCCUUCAUCCAUCUCUUUCCCUCUUCAUCUACAUUAUUUCUCUUUUGCUUUGUGACCUUAUGAUGGCAAACGUGUGGAAGAAUUUGUGUCGCUCACGAUAUUGAAUAGAAACUGUGACGUUGUGAGAAGUUUCUUUGUGUAAAAGUCCAAAUAAAGAUAAAUGUUGGACUUCCUUUAGCUGACUUUGUUUCAAAUAUUUGAUCAUGUGAGCUCUCCGUCUUUCCAGCGUCUGAGAAAAUAUCGUCUCAUCAGUGAUCCCAUAAUCUGAGCUCGUGCUCGGCUUUAGUAAAGACUACGGCUAACAUCACCACCUCUUUUCAUACAUUCAAUAUUUCAUCACACACUGUGUGGAUAUUAAGAGGACUGAUCUGGCAAAUAUUGAUCCUAUCAGAGGGAAAUAUCUCCGGAUUAGAGAAGUUGCUCAGAUUUGUUCUAUUAGUAGUGAUUCGAUCUUUUUUUAAACUUGUAAAAAGAAGAAGACAGAGAUAAGACAUUAGAGGGCCGUCUGUGCUGCGAAUCUGUUCACUGCUGCUGCUGCCAGGUUAGACUCACAGCCAAGCCUUUGUGUACAAACUGUGCUUAUAAUGACUGUGUAAAGUACGUGCCUGUAUGGAGGCUUUAUCUAAAUAUAUCUGUAUGUUAGUGUUGUCUUGCUGUUUGUUUCCUGUUGCGGAUCAAACGCUGGCUUCGCACCAACACUGUCCACUCAUUUGGAAGCAAAGCGAGCGCCUCUGGCUGCAAAGACCUGCCCAGGGUUCAGGUUCUUAAAGCGGAAAUAAUUGCAGAGGUGCACGCUCCAUUAAAAGCAAGUAUUUAAUACAAUAAUCAUUCAAUUAAAAAUCCCUUGUAGCAGCUGCCAUGGCUGAUUUGGAUCAAAGGAACAUGUUAUUUGUGGUACGAGGCGAUUGUUCAACCCAAAGGCCACAAUCUGGUUCUUCUGCAGAGUAAUGUUUGACUGUACCUGCAGACUGUAACGUUACAAAUCUGCUCCUGGUGGUUCUUCUUCUGUUGUUUAUAACUAAUGUUUUAAGCCAAAUAGUUAAGAGACUUUACAUCCUGAUAUAUGCAAAUAUCUAAUAUAUUAUUAGUAUUAUUGUUGUUAUAGACCUGGAGCAGCAGUAGAUUUCCCUUUUUUUCCCCUUUUUUUAAGGAUGUGGUGAUAGACUAAAAACACGAUAUGGUUUAUAUCACAGUUCUUUAGAUCUAUUUAUUUGUUUUAUUUAUUUAAGAAAGCUCUUGACAUUAUCACUAAAUGUGUUUCACUACCCUUUGCCUCGGUUACUUGUUGACAAAAUGGUUACCAGGACUUAAUUUUCGAUUGACAGUUGUGCUUUUAUUGUGAAGGAGGUACUCCUGCAAAGUGAAGUCAGUGACAACAGCUCGAGGACUGAUCAGCUCUAAAAAAAAGUGUUUGAGCUCUACAGCAGAAGCCCUGCAGUUCCCUGAGCGUCCACUUGGGGCCAGAGAACGCUUUUUCGAGGCCAUAAAUAAUUUGGCGUAAUUAAAGGUGUGGCUGUUUUGUAGGGCCUGACCGAUAUGGAUUUUUUGGGGCUGAUGCCGAAAAAAUACAUAUGUACUGUAGAUAUACUGUAGACUACUGCUCUUCAGGCCGACAGGAAGACCGGCUGAUGAAACUCGGGCCAGAAAAGCGUUUUCAACUUCAAAUUUCACAAACUGGUUUAUUUACCGUUGAGGCGGACCACAUCCACUGUGAGGUAGUUACAGGAUGAAGAUUGUCAUGAGGUCGCUGUAGCGCCAUCUACAGGAUAACUUUUCAAAUGGUGAAAAAAAAGCGAGUUUGACAACAGUCACAACAGAUUAAGACAGAAGAGCUAUUUAGACAACGCCAAACUUUUUAAAAUGAGCUCUUUUUAUUUAAGUUUUCUCAAACACAGAAACUAAAGUACACAUAACUAAAGGCUGGAGUCAGUUAGUGUAAAAGUUAGUGUAAAAAUUAUUUAAAAAAGCAGUUAGCAUAAAGAAACAAAGGAAGCAUGUCUGAAAUAUCAUAUUAGAGGGUUGGAGUUCUUUAGGAUGUUGUGGUUAUCUCUGAACUAGGAGAGCAGAUUCAGUGUUUAUCAUCUUUUAUCAUCUUACUUUUAUCCUUUUAAGUUCACAUUUCAACACAAGUAAUCCUCAUACAAACAAGAUGCCUUAUUAUUGAUCUUAUGGAGCAUUUCCCUUCGAUAUUAUUAGUGGAUAAAACCUCCCAUUAACACCCACUAACUCUGCUCUCUGAUCUCCAGUCUAAUCAUUAGAUGUUUCCAGUUUCCUGUAGCUCGCUGGCUUUCUCCCAAACUGCGUCCAUGUAACAUGAUAAUAAAGUCAAACUGGGGUCAGAUAUUUUCUGUAAUAUAUAUAAAUGAUAUAAGCUCAGUAGUUAUUUUUACUUGAGAUUUAAAGGUUAAAGAAAAGGAUAUGAUUUUUUAUUUUUUAUUGACACAUGAUGAAUAUAAACCAGAAUCCUCUUCAGAAACACACAUUUAUAUAUAUGUUUAUAUAUAAUAGUAAGUGACCAAACGGCCUUUCAGACUGGAAACAUCUGACAUUAUGCUGCUGGUCUGCAUGCGAGCCCAUUCCUCAUUACAGAGGGACGUCGUCUUUGUGUUUUUUAUCUCGCUUGGUGCCUUUUGAGCAAAGGAGCACAUUACAGCAGGUCUUUGUUUUAUUGUGUUCAGCAAAUUAAUAAAUGGGAAGCACAGAGGGAAAAAUAGAUAUGAAAAUGUGUACUUUGCAUUAUUGAAAAGCCUUUCCACUAAAGGUUACCAGCAGCUAUUGUGGUACAAUCUGUGAAAUGUAAUUAGACUGUGUGUGUGUGAGGGAGAGAGAGAGAGAGAGAGAGAGAGAGAGAGAGAGAGAGAGAGCAGUGCAGAUAAAGCUGCCUCUGCCAUUAUGGACUCCCUCAUAACAUUUUGCUUCCCCCUGAAACUUAUUCUCUCUGAACUAAUUUUGCAUGACAUAUUGCAUUUCUGCUUCAGCUAUCAUGAGGAUACCUGUGAAUUAAACCCCGGCUGCAAUACAGCAAAUUUUCCACUUUACAUUUUUGGUCAUGCAGAUGUCACACAGUUUCUGUGAUUUAUUAAUUCAAGGCAGACAAAACUCACAACAUAUCCUCCAGCUGCUGCUGCUGCUGCUGGAGCUUUGUUUGUGGAUGCUGGUAUGUAGAGGAUCACAAGGGUGGAGAGGUGAGAGAUCAGGUGGAUCAACAGAUACAUACAGGAGAUUUCUCUACAAGGGGAUUUAGACACAAUGGUAGAAAAUGAAUUUCCAUGAAAGUAACUCCAACAUCAGGAUGACUGUUGUUUGUUUGCAUUGCAGAUCUAUAGAACUGAGUAGAUGCUAAAUCACGGAUGGAUUUUAUAUCCCAGAAAACCAAAGAUGUUAAUUAAAAAAACUCAAAUAACCUCUCUUUUUCUUAAAGUAUCUGGAUAACGAAGGUGAGAUAGUGAUGAAAACAACCACAAAGUAGGCAGUGGAUUUAUAAAAAGUAUUUAAUUAGUUUUGACUUCUACAUAUAAAGCUAAUUGCUUUUGCAGGUCGAGUUUUGUCAGAAAACGUCAUGGUAGGAUCCGUUUCCUGGCAACGUGUAAAUCUGAGCAGGAGCAACACUUAUAGACUUAUAGAUUACAUUUUAGAGAAUGAACACUAGAUGUUGCAUCAAAGCUGUACGAACAUACUGGACAUCUAAAGUGUGAGACUCUCUUCAUAUCAUUGACUGUAUAUCACAGCCUGUGCAUGGUGUUCACUGUCUCCUCCUGUUGCAUAAAAUGAAGCCAAAAUGUCACACUCAUAUAUCACACUCGUAAUUUGAUUGUGUUUUUUAACAGUGUUUAUAAAAGGCUUCAGACUCACGUUGAUGCUUGUUUCAGACUAACAUGUUUAUUAUCCGUGUAAUGAUGAACUCUUUUAAAUUGUGUGUGCGGCUCGCCCCUAGUGGACACAGUUUUCGGCAGUGAAGCAUCGGCUUUGUUUCUAAAGACGGUGUGCUUCAGAAAUCGUAUUUGACGUGUUAUUUUGGCCAGUUUGACCCGUGCGUCAUGUGUUGGCAUACAGGGGAAAGGUUUGAGAUAGGGUGACUAUAUUCUGAAUCCCAAAAAAAGAGGACACAACUACGUUGGUAGGAGUCGUGGAGUCAUGCAUGUUAAAUUUUAGGGUUUUUCGGGUCGAGUGUUUUUUAUGUGCUUUUAACUCAGUCAGUCCAUGAUACACAAACUCAAAUCUUCCAUACAAAAUCCUGAACAGUUGAAGGAUUUUAUAAACUCCCCUGGACAAUGGCGAACAGCCCCCCAAAAAGAGGACAUCUCUGGGUAAGAGCGGACGUAUGGUCACCCUAGUUAAAGACCUGCACUGCAAUCCGCCACCAGAGGGAGCUCUUUAAACUUUAGCUUCAUUUCAGGAAAGCUGUUGGACUGUUAAAUAUUUCAUACAUGUUGUGGUUUGCAUUAAGUGUCCUGCAGGUAUUGAGGCUAAGGCAACAUAAACAGUUAGAUUAAAGUUUAUGGUCUAACCGCCUCUUUGUGUGUUUAAAUCAUUAAUUAGCAUCAAUCUUUUAUUUUUACAAUCCUGACAAAACAAAAUCCACUCCAAUCUAAGUGAGGAGCUUCAUGGUCAGGGUAAAAUUUCUGCAGAUUUACGUACUGUUAAGAUAUGUUUACCUCUAUUUUUAUAUCACAGUGUCCGAGUUUAAAUGCUUUAUUAUUAGAGAACUGAUUAUUGAGCUAAGGAAAUAAAACAAUGCUUCAGUUUAUUUGAAAUGUAUUUAAUCUGAUUAUUAAUGUUUCACAGUGGGUAAUUUGUGUGCAGACAGAUACGUAUAUUAUUCUCAUUUGUGUAUCUCUAAGCAUUUGGAUCAUCUUUGCUUCAGUCUCUGGUUUUCAUUCCUGUACUCUUGUUGAACAGUUCCAGAUAAAUAAUCUCUGGGAGUCGACGGCAGCAGCAGGUAUGAUAAAAAUAAGAAUACGUGUUCAUGUAUGUUGGAGGCAGUCGUCUGAAAUUUCGAUCCCAUAAUGACCCAUUGAGUUCCUCCUCCAGUCCUGCUGUUCUCAGAUAAGCCGGCUCUUCUUUUAAUGGCCCCUCACCAUGAAAAGAGUGAUAAUAGCAGCCAAGCGGGCCAAAAGUUGAGCAAAGAAGAAGAAAUGAUUAAGGAACCUUAUUAAAAGCAACCUUGUAGAUGCAGACGCGUGAUGGAGAGCACAUUAUGAGGCCUGAUCCUUUUCAAAUGACACCACGGUUUCCCGAACACGCUGAAAAACCUGAUUAGGGUGACAAGCACUGAGUGAUACUGCAAACCUGUUAAUAACAUGAAAAUUAGAAGGGGCUCAUGCAAAAAAAGGAGAUUAAUUUAGCUGGAGUCCAUCUUGCGCAAAUUGCGAAGUUGUGAAUAUGUUUUCAGAUAAUGAGCCUUCCUGCUUGUCAGCUCACUUGUCAUUUUCUGUAAUUAAUGUUAAGGAAGACUCCUUCCUGAUGGUUCAUAUAACUCAUGUAGCAGGGAAAUUUCUCCCCAGAAAUAAUUUACAUUUAUUAUCAUCAGUCUGUUUGUGUGGUUUAUUUCACAGUGGAGUAAUUUAUUGCAGCACCAUUUCGCUCGCCUUGAUUAGUCACUCGUCAGACUGAGAUGUAAUUUUUUUUCUUCCUAUGUCUGAGACAUGGAAAUUGAAAGUGUUUGUGGCUCAGCGUGGCACCUCCACAGCUCUACCUUUGACUCCUUUUCCUCCUUUUUUCCUUUUUUUUGUGUCUGUUCUCAAAAAGACUGUACUCGGCGCCUUCAACUUACAAAUAAAUGAAGAUUUCUGCUUUACAUUAUCUCAAAUACACCAGGUGCAGCACUUUAUUUAACAACAUCAAACCGCCGUGACUUCCUGGAUGAAUUUUCUUUAAAUUAAAGACCGUACUUUGUAGGAAAAAUAAAGGCAGUAUAGAUGAUAGUGCCUCAGAGUUAUAUCUAUUAUUACAUCUGAGAAGAACUAUAUUUUAAUUCAUCAUACGGCGCUGCUGAAUGUACACAGAGCAUUGGGACUAAUGAGAUUACACAUUUGAUUUCUUCACCCAGUGAAGUUUAUUCCCCCGUGUCCCCACAGAUAGCGAGCAAACAGAUUUACCCCCGUGUGCUGCGACCAUAACUCAAAGAAAUAUUCAUUUAAGACACAUAUUUAAAUCAGCCUUUCUUAGCUACUAAGCUUUGCUUUUCUUUGUGCCAGUAAAUUUAUAAGCCCACUUCUUAAAUGUAUUAUUCAUCCGAGCAUGUAAAUAAUGCAUGCCUGCUUCCACAGUAAAUUAACCCUUUACCUUACCAGGGAUACAGGAGUCAUUGUUUUGAAAGGCAAUUAUGUCAUUUAAUUAAUGUUGUAAUUAAUACUGUAAUUAGCUUAAACACCCUGCAACCGGGUGCCACUACUAAGCUGUCUUAAUUAAAGAGAUUGAACGGUUUCAUAUCUUUUUUUUGCACUGUCACGUUGCAGGGUGCAGACUAGGAAUAUCUCAUCUUAUCUGCAGAUUUUAGAGCAACUUUUUUUUUUAAGCAUGAAUAAAGUCAGAGCUGGUUCACCGACGAUACGAGGAACAAAAGGAGGAAAAAAAACCCCAAACAAAUCCCUUCUUUAGGCUUGUAAUGUCUAAACUACAGCUGUAAAUCCUCUCUGUGCGUCUGUGUAACCUGCCCGGUCACAAUCUGAUACUCGAUCACAGAGGGAGUCAUUGUCUGCCAAAAUUAUGAAACAAAAUAAAUCCAAUUCCCAAUCCGGCUUUCAAACUAAAGGUAAGGGAGCCGUGCAAGAAGCCUGUGUUUUAUUGCUGCGCUACAGCGGCGAGAGCGGGCAGACAGCUAAUCCGCUCGUAGAGAGUUUUUAUCCUUGCCCGAGCUGACAGUGAUAGAAAGUGUUUUCCCCAAACUAGAAAAAUAGUUGAGAGAGGAUGAGAAAGCAAAGAGGUCAGAGAAUACUGAAGGGUUUCCACUCAGCUCCACACUGGCUGCAGGUCCAGCUUUGUAUUCAUGCGCUGUGAGCAUCCGUACAGCUCAUCUAUUGUGCAUGUGCGUGUCAGGAUCAUUUCUGAAGCCAGACGCCUCAGCACUAGCAGGAAGCAAUAAGGAGGAACUCCCUGCUUGUAAAAUUAAUUCCCUUUAGUAUGUCAGAGUGUGGCCGAGGAUGCUCAGAGUUAGGAGGGGGGCUGCUGGUGUUAUAAGCUGCUUUUAAUGCACAUUUCUGCGUCCGUGGGGGUCGCGUUUGCCUUCGAUUUCCUCCCCACAUGUAAAUAUUGUGUAGAAAUUUGGAAAGCAUGAAUAAUUGUCGACAUUUUAAGUGAAUUUGCAACGCGUAUCGUGUGUGCAUCAGUGGAUUAGGCCGCCUUUCUGUUUGGUUGCGAGUGAUUUUAUCAAUGUCAUUAGACCAUUCAUUGAACUAAGUGAGGAAUCCAUCAAAAGCUGACAGGAAGCAGCAGACUAAUGGCUGUUAGGCUGUAAUAUUCUUUAAUAUGAUUUUUAUUUGCCUUAAUUUCAUCUUCUUUUACACAGGUCCCAAAUCGGUAGAGAGCUGCUGAACACCUGAGCACAUUUCCUCAGAGCUGCACAGAGGUGUGUUGCACGUUUCCUGACAGUAGAGACACACGAAACAAAUCAGGAGUUUAUUUUACGUCAACGCAAAGCAGGGCGGCAAUUUGUGCACACGCUGCGCGACGCCUGCACCCCCGAUUUUAUCUCUUCAUACUCCUCUGCAUCCGCAGCCACCUUCAUCAUGCACUUUAACACUCUAAAUUAAAAAUAGCUCAGCGGGUUUCAAUUUUGUGCUGACACAAACCUAAUUUUACACCUCCUUUCAGUAGUUUCCCCUGUUCUUCCACUUCAUAUCCUCUGACACAAUCAAGCACAGCCCUGAAAUUGCCUCAAACAUAACAAAACAAAUGAAAUGGAAAUUAAUUUUUUGCAACAGGAUUAUCUACCCGUGUGACUAUUAUCUUUGCCUGCUGUUUAUCUGCGGCAGCAAAAGGAGGAGAUAAUUUUACAAUUAAUGGCAGAGGAAUCAGAACCCUCCUGUAAUCAUUGGAUGACACAUCCUGAAGAAAUAGCCCUUCAUAUUGCCUUACCCUGGGCUUCAAUAAUCUUGACCCUGGGUAUUAAUGGAUGAGUUAAUGGCCUGCAGAAAUCCUUUAAUUUAUGCCAGGGUGAAUUAAGAAGAAGUAAUGGAUUCUGCUUUUCAAAAUGUCCAGACAAGGCAUUUCCGUUCAGCCUAUCUGAGAAAUCAAAUUAUCAUAUUAUCUCUCUGAAUGGCUCUUCUGAACCCAUAUUUCACAAUAUCUGAUGGAAACAGUUUUGACAUUCAUUACAUGACUCUUGCUUUAUUGUGACUUGCUACUACAUGCUUUGACAAAAGGAGGAUAAUGAUUUUCGUGCCAGUGGAGAAGAGGACGGACAUAAGGGGGAGAAAAAAGCGGAUCGGAAAUGACAAAUCAACUUUCAGCGUCUUCAAUGUAAAUACAAAUGUAAUUAUGGAAGUGUAAAUUGGUUUGACUCUCUGAGGAGAGGCCACUGCGCUUCAGUUCUCUGUUUUUUAUGAAUUUACAGAGCGUUCGACAAUGAAAGAGAAAAUCUUUACAAUAAAAACUCAGAAAACUCUGUCAGUGAAUCAUUUAAAGAUAUUCAGACACUUUUUUUCCAGUGACCUUCUCACUGGAAACUUUUAUUUUUCCUUCUCCACUUUGAUUGUUUCCUCUUGUUUCUGUGUUUAUCGUUGCGCUUUGACUGUAUUCGUGCUGAACUACAGGAGUAAGUUUGUGAGUUAAAUACUCGACAAACUCUGAAGUUAAUGAAUAUUUUAACUCUUAACCUGGUUUGGAAGAGUAGUUGCUGAUAUCACUUUUUAUUGGCUGAUAAUGAGAGAUCUUGCUGGUCGAUGGUCGAUAUGUAACGCUGCUCUCCUCUUGUUGGUGUUUUUUCUGCAUUUCACAACAAAAUAAUUUAACAUCCUUAACAAACUGCAUUUCCUGUUUCUGGCCUGAUUAAUUACCUGACCGGUUAGUCUGACUAUCUUAAGUUUUGAUGGUAAAUACGAUCGGCCACCCUAACCCAACCUUCCUCAGAUUUUUCUGCAUUUCUUCUGCUCUUAACUUAUUUUGUGAAUCCAUUUAUGACAUUUAGUCUCAGUCUAAACAAAGUUCAGUCUAGAUGAUUUGAUGAGAAUCUAUCAUAAGAAAAACAUGUCUACGCUGUCCUUGUAUCAUUGAAACCGCUGCUUUACAGGAAGUCACUCUACGCUGUAUUUGGAGUCACUCUCUGGGUUUUUAGGCUACUUUUCAUUGUUUCCAUAUUAUAAAGUUUACAGGGAUGCUUUUUCCAAACAUACAAUACAUUUCUGUAACUGUGAUUGUGGGUCCACUCAUCUUACUGAACUUAAGUCCAUGUGAGUUAAAAUUUUCAUAUUUUCAUCAUAAAAUAUACCAAGAAAUCGAGUUUAUAAACACACGUUAACCCUUUUAUGAACAAGUGAAAGCUGCUCGACUCAGUUGGACAAGUUAAUGGAGUUAAUCCAUGUCUGAGUAAUGUAAAAGGACUUCUGAAUUUCUCUUAUUGUUCUGAAAAUUGAAGCAUGAUUCUAGAAGCCAAAUAUGUUGAUGUGAUAACCUAAAAUGAAUUGCAGUUCACUUUGUACGCCUUAAGUGUCGCUGUCUUGUUAUCCGGGCCUCAGGAAUAAAGGUAGAUACGUCACUGUUGUGGACAGGUGAUUGACCCGGAAAGUGUGGCGCUAAAUGCUGGUGUUGUUUGUUUAUUCAGUGUCGCUCGAUGUCAAUUAAAAAUGGACUUUAGUAAUGUUCGUCACAAUGAGUUUUUAGUUCGCUGCAUCAGAGGAACAACAUCCGGACAUUCACUGAUCCGAUCCAGGUCAAACAUCUCAGUACCUUUAAGAAUCGACUUAGCUCCUACAAGGACUUGAAAACAUCGGUACACAUCUGAACUGUGAUUUUUGUGUUUUAUUACACUGCUGGUAAACAGAAGUGGUUGACUGAUGUCAGGUUUCCAAAGAGCACCUCAGUUACAGCCACAGUGACAGUCAUUAUUCUGUCAUUAUAGUGGGUUGAUUUAUAAAUAGAGAAACACAUGUGGCUGAUAUUCAUGUCAGAGAUGACAUAACACUCCUCAUUUCAUCAUGACAGAACAGAUAUUAACUUAGUGGUCCCAGUUUGAUCUGAUCUGCUGUCCUGGAGGAUGUAAACAUGUGGGACUGUUUCAGGGGAUCACACUGAAGACAAAGUCACCAAUAAAAAAAAAAAAAGUAGUCUAAUCACUAAACUCCAAUUUAACAGUUUUAAGUGGCCAAAACUUUAAACUUCAUUUUUACAAACUUUUCACAGACCUGCAGGAACCUUUCUGUGCCAUAGAGCAGAAAAAAAACCUCAUGAUCUUUUAAAAUUUCAUUUUCAUUAAACUGAUGUAAAUAUUUCAAUAUAUUGAAAAUUAGCCUCAUUCACAAGUUAAAGCAGUGUUUAUCGUGUCCUUGUGUAAGUUAGUGCACUCAUUCAUUAAUGUAUAUUAUACAAAACAAUGCAGCUGUUAAUGUUAAUGAUAAAGACAUGUAUUAAACUUCACACAGGCUUCAUAGAACACAGACUCCUCUGCUUUCACACUAAUGCAGUUUUCUCACUCCUGACGUCACAGAGACCUCGUUAUGAACUCGUUAUUAGUCAUUACUCUGUAAACUUGUAUGGCGGUGAAAUAAGAGGAGUGAUUUUCCACACAAAGUUUGAUCUGAGAGUCGAACACGGCGAGGAAACGAACGCAUUAAAAACAAAGCAGACAGACGCGGUAUGAAGAAGGAAGCGCAGCGUCAGCGUUCCUCAGACACAGUAGGAUUUAUUGCGGCGCACUUAUCAUGGACGCCGGCUUUAAGUCGUACAGGUAGUCCUAAUAUACUGAGAGCGCCGUGUGCAUUAAUAUACUUUAACUUUCACAGACACAGAGAGAGAGAGAGAGAGGCACACCUCUGCACUUCUCCUCCAUUACAGCAGGCCUGCUGGGCCCUGUGGAUUGAAGACCCUCUUGGGGGGCUCCACAUUCAGCCUCUGCUUACGGCCAGCCCCGCAUUUUUAUUGGAUGAUGUCAUCCCGGUGUCACGGCGAAGGAGAAGUUUGAUGCGAGCCGUAACGCUGUCAGGGUGUAGUCCUGCGACGACGAUGAAGUCAUGCGCACUUAUUUUCCUUUAACAUAUCACUUUGCUCCUCAGGUUGUGCGAAAAUCCUGUAAGCGAACCUGAUCCUCGGUGACCCCCCCAAACCCCCGACACACACACACACACACACACACACACACAGACACUAAGACUGAACUCGCACAUGCUGUCAAACAGAAACACCACUCUGGCAGUUAUUUGGGGUUUGUUUGUAAUCUUUUCGGGCGCUUUGUCAGGCAGACGCAGCGAUAUUAGUGUGAGUGCACAAAAGCCCCCGAGUGGUGUCACGCACAAUUAAUGUCCCCAGGUAGCAACUCCAUUAGUCUUAUGAACUCAAGUCGCAGCGGGGAAUGCUAAUGGUGGAGGUGCCGUGGGGCAUUAGGGAAGGAGUGCAGCCAAAGCUACCACUUUACCCUUCGAUUUGACCAGCAUGCACCUCCAUCUCACUUUAGAGCCCCGCAACCGACACCCCCCAACCUCGACACUUAAGCGAGACACACUGUCAGGUAGCGAGCAGCCUCCGAAGAGUCCACUGGCAGUGCGUGCCACUCACUCACACAGCUGUGCGCCAUUCCUUUUUAAUGAUCAUUUAUACGUCCCCGGCAUCUUACCCAAAUGUCUCCAAUUACAUAACAGCGACGCCGCGAUAUCGUGUCACUCCGGCGGAGGCUUUUUGAAAGUCCAUAUUUUCUCUUCUACGUGACAACGCCUCGGUGUGGUUAAUCAUUGUCGGCUUUCAUAAACCUUGACUUCCAUCUCGCCGGCCUCAAAUCCCACACGCUCACGUGACCUCCUCCACUCCAGAUCCCCGGCCUGACCUUGCUGGUGUAGAAGCGUGGAGCGGUUCAUUUGAUCUAACAGGCCUACAGCUGAGCUCAGACCCAGCGCUGAGGCCUGCUGCCCGCUCCCUGUGCUCCAUGCCCACUCUAGCAUGGAUGUAUUUAGGAAGCCUGGUAGCUACCUUUACAUCACAGCUCAAUAGCAUCACGUUGCCUCUGAACCUACAUGUCAAUUCCGUGUCACACAGUCCACGGAGCGAAAAAAGAGGUAGAGGUGGUGGGUGAUAAAGAGCGAGCUGACAGAGAGCAGAGCGAUGGAGGGGAGGGAGAGAAACGCUGGUAAUUUUUAGGAGAAUGAACCCACGCCGCUGCCGCCGCCGCAGAGCAACCUCCACCAGGGCAUGAAAAACACAAGCGCCGCCAUGACAGUGACUGCAAACAGAGAGAAGUCACUGUCGGCCUAUUCACAGCCUUUAUUACAUUAUCAAUUACACAUUAUAAAUGUACUCCACACGGCCUGCUUCCCCGCGCCUUACUCCAUCAUGUUGGGCCGUCAUCACUCAAAGUGAGGCCCACACGGGAAGGCCGGCGGAGCUCUCCGGUUCCUGGGCGCCCUCUCACCGUUGCCGUGGAAUGCAGUGGCUGCUUUAUUGCUUGUGGCAGUAAUUGCACUUACAUUUGAUGCUCUUUUGUUGGGAUAAACCCCACAGCUGGCUCUCCGUUAGCCGCCAGUACGAGCCAAUAGAGCCACGGCGCUUCCUAACCAUGUGACGAAUCCAAACGCACAUCUUUAACCAGCUGUUUCUUCUUUAUUUUUCCACAUCCCCAAGUUUGAACUGUUGCAUUAAGCUGCAGUCUCUGAUUUUACAGCCUUCCUUUGAAUGAGCCGAGCAAGUGUUCGUAUUGAUUUGCACAUUAAAUAUAUUAGUAAUAAAACAACAUCCUGCUGCAAAACAAUUGUAAAAUCAAUAGUAAUUGGAACCAAAAUAUUAUGAGUUCUUGGUCUGCAGUCUUAUUGUCUCUGUAACUGACCGGUGAAAUCCUGUGUGUUUGCGUGAUAAAUGCGAUAAAUAUUGAUAACUACGUCAAAUGAAUGUAUGGCUGUAAUUCUGAGAGCCUAAAUAUAAAUUGAAUAAACUCCGUUCAGACCGUUCAGUGAUGGAAAAGCAGGAGGUUAACAAACCAAACUGGAGCUGAGCGCAAUGAACUUGUACAGAAACUCGAAUCGAUCCGCAGAAAAUGAGAAAACCUCAGAGGCACGUGGAGUUUAGAAAUCACAUCAGAGUCCAAACCUGAUCAUCAAACGUAAAACCUGCUGUCAGAGAGACCGCCGGGUUUGUUAGGAAGGAUGAGACUUAAACCUACAACUAUGACAGGGAUAUGUUACUUCUAGGGUGGCACGAUUAAUCAGAUUAUUUGAUUAUGAUGAUGUUAAAAAAAUCAAAAUCCUCAAAUCGAUUUCCCUCUCUAUCGUAGCUUCCCCAGUUCCCACACACAUCAGUGUAAACAAACAUGGCGUUUGCUAAAGAAAGCGAUAAUUUCGUGGUUAAAUGGGACAAGAGUGAGUCAGUCGUGUUGAAUUGGUACGACUUCACAUUUUAGACGAAGAGAAAACCACUCCCCGCUGCAAAGUCUGUCUGAAGGCGGUAUCAACUCGGGCCUGACCGAUACAGAUUAUUUGGGGCAGAUGCCGAUAUGAGAAAAAAAUCUGAUUACCGGUUAAUCAGCCGAUUUUUAAACUUUUUUUUAGACAGUUUUAAAAUUUUGUUAAUUUAAGUAAUAUAUCUACAUAUUUACUUAUUUUUUUAACCAAUGGCUGCUUUUGAGCCUUUCAAACACGUCUCAGUAGCAUUAACCAGCUGCCUCAGUCAGAGAAGCAGCUCGAUCACUAAUGUGUACUGUUGUUUAUUCUACCGUUACUGACACGGCUAACAGUGAAGCAAGGCUAAUAGCAGGUGGCUAACACUAACUUUAGCUCGGCGUGACCGAGACCAGCACAGCGGGGAACAUGGUGAAGUGGGUUGAACUGAAACUUGUUGACUUAUUAUGUUUUUCACAAACUGGUUUAUUUCCCGUUGAGGCGGACCACUCUCCUCCGUGCGUCCCUGAGCUGCCUGCUUCAGAUCCGUCACUCUGCUGUGCCGUGAGGUAGUUAGUGAAUGAAGAUGAGGUCACUGCACCAUCUAGAGGAUAAGUCGGGGAACUUUUCUAAUGGCAGAACAUUUUCGAAAUGAAACCAAAUCUUAUUCUUCGCAUUUUAUUUCUUAAGAUAUCUGCGAAAAUCAGUGAGUUUUGGCCGAUUACUGAUUACUCUCAAACGGGCUAAAAUUGGACGAUUUAAUCAUCUCGUCGAUAAAUCGGUCGGGCCCUCGUCUUGACAUUAUAACUGGCCUGUUUACCUGGAUGCAUAAUGGACUAACUCUGAGCCAGCUGAUAUCAUGUUUCACUGAACUGUUUGGACCACAGCACCUGAGGCGUCCGCUCUCUGUCCUCGCUGACUGAAGCUUUGGGUUUUUCCCUCGAGACACCAGAGAGGUCAACAGAGAGAUACAGAGAGGGAGAGAGAGUAACAGCCACACUUUAUGACUCUUAUUAUUCUCAAUCAAAAGUAAGAUGAUUGUUAGACACACACACACAGAGUAAUAAGAGGUUAGAACAGUUAUCAUGGAGCUACAGUGACCAGAAACAGUUUGUCUUUUAAAAAUAAUCAGAAUAUCACAAUUAAAAGAGGAGAUGGAUGAACCCUCACAGUUUAGUUUUGGUCCUUCUGGAGUUUAGUUUGGAGUUCUGGGCUAAGAAAAGUUGAGGAUGAGCUGCUCAGUGUAGGAAAUGCUGUGAAGUGCUAAAUCGACCGGCUGAUCUCACCAACCUGCAUAUUCCCGAUGUUAGAGUCCACCUUUAACGUUCAGAUAUAACUUCACUCGUCAGAGGAAGUGAAUCCUGGACCUGUGAGAGAGAGAGAGUAUGUAAGCAGAGAUGUACUCUAAAUAGAAAGGCCCUCUUCUCCUCUCCCUCUCCUCUGGUGUGGGAUCCCGUGGAGCAGGAAAACAAAGCAUGAGGUGUGUCUUAUUCUCCACAGAGUGCCCUGGGGCCAAGGAGUGAGCUUGCUGCCAUCCUGGAGGCUUUGAGUGCUUUAUAACAGUGUACACAAAGGACUCGCUUCCCACAGCCCGGUCAUUAACAAGUGGGCAGCGGUGAAGGCAAAGCCGGAGAGGGGCCUUCCACUGUCCUGCCACCACACCUGCUUCCACAUUCACAGAGCCAGAGCGGCCCCGGCAUGAAGGAUGACUUGUAGUGUGCUGAACUCCAGGGAAAGGCAGCCACCUCCCCUGUCUUGUUUGUUUGAAAAUUGGAGAGUUUGUGACAACAGUGUUCAGCUCAGGAGCACGAAAACAGCUGAAUCCUGCAGCUUUGUCUUCAUCAGGCCCGUCACUGCAGCGAACACACAGCUUUGGUGUGUUUCAGCUCAUUAUGUUCGGACUUAGGCGGCUUUUUGUCGUGUGCAUUUACAUGUGCUGUCUCUAUAUCACUGCAGUUUCAAAUUCAAGCUUCGUGUUUGACGUGAAAAAGACAAAAUAAUCUGCAUCCAAGAACCCAUACUAUAAAAUGUUAAAUCACACUUAUACUCAAAGAUUCCUGCUAGUAUUUUCUUAGUUGUUCUUAUUUGUUUGGUUUUGCUGCAGAAUUUCUCAUGAUGGAGCCGUGUGAACUUGCAGAAAUGUGCAGAAAUGCAGGUGAAAUGGGCAGAAGGCUCUGUCUGCAUCUGUGUGCAUCACCUCCAGUGGUUUCUUCUGAGUGUCGUGAUCAUAAACUUAACACGACUUCUUACAUUUAACAACAAAAUAGCAAAAAUCUGCGUAUUUCUCUUCCUCUGCUUAUUGAAAAUCUAAAUCCAGGACCUUGUUCAGAGUGGCAGGUGUGAAUAUGAGAGGCAACAUUUACUUCUGACCAUUUUGGAUCAAAUACCAAACCUGCUAUUUACCCAGCGAACAAUGUCAGCGGCCGCAGACACAUCACAGACCGGACCGGACUAAAUUUUGAUGGAUGUCAGCUGGGACUGCUAGACUUCAGCUCAAAGCCGAUAUGUGACAUUUACUCACAGAGUCUGCUUGCCGGCCAGUCACAGUGUUAUGUAAAUAGCACACCUGUCCGCUCGCUGACGGGCCGGCUUAUGGAAAAUCUGUCUUUUGGGGUUGAAAAAUUGUAUAAGCAGAGCAUCUGUGAGAGUGUUUGGUCAGGGACCGUAUGAAAAUUAUUAAUGUAGGGGGUGGGCUAGUUUAUUUUAUCUUUUAAUACCCUAAUAUAACAAAAUUAACGUUGUUAUUCAAGGUUUGUAAAAAUACAGUAUUUUGUUUUUAUGAGAUUUAAGUCGUUACAUUACGAGGAUGAAGUUCUUGGCCGAUUAGCCUCAUAAUGCUGUUUUAAAGGCGGAGAUUAUAACUCUCAGCUGUUUGCUCAUCCUAUUAGAGUCCUGAUUCUUCAAAUAUUACUGAUGUGCAGACAGAUCUUGUAUUUCAUUGUUAACAAAUCUUACUAAAGUACAAUUUAACCAGACGCUCCAUGUUCAAACAGCUGUCUGCUCACCGUGAACCAAAAUGACCACAACACGAGGACUCUACUCUCGUAACAUCACUUAAUUUUUGUAAUAUUAUGACUUUAUUCUUGCAACAAAACAACUUAAUACUCAAAAUCUUUAAAUAUAUAUAUAUCUUAAAUGUUGCUAUAACACUGGGUCAUAUGUUGCACAAUGUUGGUCAGACAAAUUAUCUGAUAACAGGAAUAUUUUUUCUCUUGUUAUCCUGAUGAAACAGAUUUUUUUUAAAUGAAAAAGAAAAACUGGUAAAAGCUGCUUUUAUUCACUCUUAAACAAAUCCGAAACAGUAGGUGGCGCUAGGGGUGUCUCCAGACAACUUUUUUAUUUCCGAUACGAUACCGAUAAUGUAGCCUUCAGUAUCGCCGAUACCGAUAUUGAUCCGAUAUUGGCACAAACUUGUGCAUGACAAGUUUUUCACUCAGCUGCAACGUCUUUUUUGGAUUUUACCGAAAAAUACUACCGCACUGCCGACAUCACUCCUACUCCUCUCUACUUUGUUUGUACUUUAGUACACACUGUUGUUGUGAUCAUGUGGGCUCUGGAUGAUGGAUCAGGGCGCUGCUAGAUAUAGGUGCUAGGUGGAGUCUGGAAUGGACUGCGUGUAUCGGAGUGCUGAUAUCAGAGAUUGUAGAUGAUAUAACCCGAUAUUUGUUUUUUGACUGAUAUGGGACUGAUAUCCAAUAUUAAUAUGGUAUCAGGACAGCCCUAGGUGGCGCUAUGAUCAGUUUUAGUGGACAUAGUUAAAUUAAAGUGAAAUCACAUAAGAAUGUAAACGUUUAAAACUCCCAUAUAGUGUCUUUAUUUCUGGACGUUUGUUACUCUGUCAGUCGGCUCUCUCAGCUCCUCUGUUAUCCAUGAUGUUACUCAUGGUUGACGUAUAACUAACCACCACAUCUACACCCUCUGAAUGAAUUUAUCCCUCCUCCGUUCAGCUGUAAUCAUCUCUAUUAACAGCGGUCCACUCUGACUUGAACAAAGACAAAUGCCGUCUCUCUCCAUCAAAGUCCAGUUUUGAUUCUGAACUACAAUCACUCUUGUCUUCUUCCUCUUCAAGGUCCGUCCUCUCUUUGAGGAAACGCUGAAAUAUGAAAACAGCUGACAGGACGGUGAUAGAUCACAACACCAUUAAUUUCAGGAGGAGUCUCUUCACAGGCGGGCCGGAGAGAGGAAUUUACAUUGUUAAUAUUGUGUAAUAAUCCACAGCACAGGCGUGGGAGAGCAGAUAAAACAAGAAUGGACUUUUUACUUUUCUAAGCGGUAUUGGCUUUCCUCCAUAAACAAUGAGCUGUCUUUGCUGUAAUGGCUCCUAGGUGCCCCACUUGUGUCGAUCUAAUUACUUUGGUUUCAUCAGGUCCUACAGAAAUCUGGUGAAGAAGAAGAAGAAGAAGAAAAUCCAUACUCGAUAACAAUGAAAAAUUCAUAUUGUUGUUUUUUUCCCCAUCCCUCUCUGUCUCUCUUUCUUCCUCCCUCCUCUCACUCACUCACUCACUCACUCUCACCCUGCUCUCUCUUAUUCUGUGAUAUAUUUAAAUGUUAAUAACCAUUCAUUCCUGACACCCUAUCUACCAAGCCCCAAGUUUAACAGGAAAUCUAUUUAAUCUGAAGAAUCUCAUUACACGAUCAUGGCAGCAGCUAAAGCCCCGACUAUUGUCGAUAGAUGGGAGGUAGGAGGGGAGAAAGAAAGGGAAGGGAAGAUGAUGCACAGAGAGAAAAAAAAAUGAAUUCAAGGAUGGAUAUUUAAUUUAAUCAUUGUGCGUGAAGCAACAUAAAGGAGGCAUAAAGAGUCUUGCUUCUUCCUUCAUUUGAGAAGAUAAUGAUUAAAUGUUUUCUAUUGUGCCGUACAGCUGAAAGCUUUAAUCAUUCCCAGAGCUGGACAGAGAGGAGAGAGAGGAGAGAGAGAGCGCUGCAGCCUUUUAGUGCCUUUGACAGUAUUCUAAAUAUGAACUUCUUUUAAGGCCAUUAAAAGAUUAUCACUGAUUUAACAGGAUGCCCGUUUGGAGCAUUAGCCACAGACGGUUCCCCCAAACCCUCUGAACACCAUUCUCCCAGCUUCUAUUAUCUCAUCCACACAGCACUAUUUAAUUUCAUUUCCAUGAAUAUGCAAUGAAUUUAAUUUUGAACACUAUUUUCAUCUGCUCCUGUAAUCACAAAAAAUGCCAGUGUAAUUAGUUUCUAAUUACUUGGUGUAAUUGUUGUAGUAAUCAUUUUAAUUACCCAAAUGCAGAGACAUUAGAUGCUAAAAGGAAAAUAAUCUGCUUGUACCUCCUACUGUGUCUCUCAUUCUCCUCAGUUUGAUAUCUCGAUCGUGACAUGGGCUGCUUCACCGUCAAAGACAGACGCAGUACAGCGCUGUUGCAUGUGGAUGUUUUAUAGCACAUGAUAGGGGAGGCAUGUACUGUAUAGGAGGGAGUGUGGGGAGGAGAAGGAGGAAGAGAGAGAGGGGGAGAGGAGAGAGAGGGAGAGAGGGGGAGGCAGACAGACGGGACCAGACUUACAUUGUAGCAUCUCUGCAAUCUGCUCGCUGGAAAUUUGCAUGCCCCGAAAAGCCAUUAAGUUAAAAUAUACAGUUAUUGUACCUUUCUGGGACCGGCGCCAUACAAAUGCUUAUUGCAUGUGCUUAUAGCUCAGUCUACCAGAUGGUAAAUCAUGAAAUUUUAUGAAAUUAUUGCACCAGUGAGGUGUUUUGAAAAGGAGCAGCUGUGAGGGAGAUGGGACAUUAUAAACACUCACAGGUGUUCUGUCUUUCCCCACCGCCAGCCACAACAUAAAAAAUUAAAUUAUAAACAAACCGGCAAAUGUUGUAAUCUCCUUCACAGAUACACUACUUACAGGAGAAAUUGCUUCAACUAAGCAAAGAAUUUAAUUUUAAUUUGCAUAAAAUAUUUAUUGUGGCUAAGAAAUUUCAUCGCAGGGCCCCGCUCGUCUGCCAAGUUCGGAAAUUGCCGAAAUGUACAUUCCACCGGCAUCUCGGUGCCACGGAUGAAGAUCCAUUAGGGAAGGCUCUAAUGGGCACUUCACCCAAGCACAUAUGGGCAAGUACACGUAAUAAGAGGGAGCUGGUCAGUGCCAAACACCACAACAAGCUUGUGUUUCUCAUUAAGAUUUUAUUCCUUCCUUAGUAUUUAAUUAGCCGCUCUAGCACAGGGACCCGCGAAGAUAGCUGCACAUCCACUAUGUUGCCACCUUCCAAGUCUCCAACAUGUAAACUGGAGCUCUCCUGCUGCCCGCCUCGCACCUUGUGUAUAAUACAGAGAGAGGACUUGUUGCUCGGGAUGGAGUGUGAUCGUCUGCAGAGACUCGGUGUGAAGACUCGGCUGUUGGAGGAUUAGCUCGAAGCUAACAUGAAAAUCUGUCCGAGCUGACAAACUUUCUGAAGCAUCGUUUUUAUAAAAGAGGAAAUACUGGAGCAGCAGUUAGGCUCUGUGGUUCGAGUGUGCGGAGACUGAUGCCUGCAGACAGCCUCUAGUGGACACUCAGUGAACUGCAGUCUGACCUUAAUGAAGUACAAGUCAACAGUGGUGGUCGAAGUUUGCUCAUUGCUCAAACAUGGAGUAUAGGGCUGCACAAUGUUGGAAAAAACUAAUAUUGCAAUUUUUUUCAACUCUGCGAUAUUUAUGUUGCGAUAUUAAAAAAUCGAGGAAUGUUCAGCAGACGAUCUGAAUCUGACUUUCUGCUGAAAUCUUGAGGACAGUUAACCUGCACUGAUCUUCCCUCUUUUAGUGAAUGUUAGUAGACUGUCUUCUGUCUGUCUCAGAGAUAUUUUUAGCUUUUAUUGUUCUGGGAUGUUACCGUGGAAACAGAUGAACACAGAACACGUGUUUUAGUCGACAUCAUCCUUCUUGUAACUGAAAUAAUUCCAGAUAACCGACCUUAAUUUUUUUAGCCAACAAGUCUUCAUCUUCAAUGAUUUUCUCUAUUUGCUCAUUUUACAGUCGUUGUUGUUGUAGUCGAGUGGUCCAUGUAAAUGUACAAUUUUAAACCCAUAUAGUUUUUAUCUGUGGGGCUAAACGGUGAUGAGGAAUGUUCCCAAAGUAAUUCUUGGCGGGCAUGUGUUUCUCGGCACAACAUCGGCAGCGCCAGCGACGAGCUCCAUGUGCAGGACAUGUGCAGGGGCGUGGUUUCCUCCGCUCUGAUUUUGAUUGACGGCUGGUAGGGUAGCAACUGAGUAAAGAAUGAAUGUGGUUGGUGGAUCGCUGCACAGCCCACGCAGAGUCACAUGCAGUGAAUUUCAGUCAGCUACCCUUGAAAUAAGAUGAGCUGCGAUGCGACUAUUGCGCUCACGUACAUCGGGAUGACGAUGCUCAAACAGUAUACCGUGCAGCUCUAGAUGACCGGGUGAACUCUGAUGAAAUGUGUCCUAAUUCUGGGUAGGGGUCCUUCAGAGGACCCAGUCUUAUCUAUUUCAUCUGGUCUGGUCUUUGAUGGAUUUCCUGGAUGCAAACAAACAGUCAGCUUUGCGUAGUUUGACUUGAAGACUAGAAACUGGGGGAAAAACUAGGAAGUUUAAUUUGUUUUAAAUAAAUUAGUCUGAGCCUCAUCUCUGAUUUUGAAUAUUAACAUCUAUUUUUUUUUUUCAGUCAAUAACUUCUUAGUUAAUAAGUCGUAUUUAUGUUUCCAAAAACCCUAGAAAAGGUCAAGCUAAAAUCAGACGCAGUCGUCUAUUUCUGUGCCGUAUCACUCAGUUGAAGGAUUUUUCUUUUAUUGUAAAGGGAGGGCGUUCUCCUUCAGCCUCAUUUACUCAAUAAUAAAAAUUCACAGACAUGUAUUUAUUGUGUAUGACAGGGCCUGUAACAUAUUCAAAUGUGAUGCAUGCGUCUUCUUUCUGUGAAAAGGCUGGUGCCUGGACGCAGAGCAGCGCUGCGAGGGUAGCUGGGAUCGUCAUGCAUAUUCAAAUCCACUGCUGGACAUGGCUGCCCUAAAUAGGCGGAGAGCGUGCAGCACUCAAGGGUGGAUGGUUUUCCAUGUGUUUUUUUCCUUCCUCCUCUUCUUUCAAGCACCUCCAGCACAUACUGAUCAAGGCCCUUCCAGGCAUUUAUUCCACAGUAGCUGCAGGCUCCACAUGCCCCCGGUACCAUCAGCAUCACAGCUGAGUGGAGAGCCCAGAAUCAAAGAGCCCACUGAUUAUAAGAGGCUGCUCGACUUUAUAUCCUACUGUCUGUUUAAAAAUAUGUACAAAUAUGUUUCAAGUUUUUAAUCUCAGACUCUUUUAUCAGGGUCAGGUUUUAUGAACACACUUAAAUUGAGCUGCAGGUACAGCUGGAUUAGGGGAUUUAAUCUGACUACACACCAGGUUAUUGUAGGAGAAAUGAUUUAUCGAAGCCCCCUGUCAGCUCAUGAUGAUGUUUUGCACCAAAACAAUCAACAAACACAUACCAGGAGGUUCACCAGAUGUUUGAAAUCUCUGCACCUUUAAUACAAACAGACUCACCGUCUCCUUCACCUCCUUCUUUCCUAUCCUACAACAUAUUUGUGCUGUUUUACUUCUGGAUGUGCAGAACGUUUAGGCCGGUUUCAGUCAGAUCAAGGUCAGAACAGCGCCCUCUGGUGACGGGCUGCAGUAUAGGUCAUAAAUCCCGCCUCCUUAUGGAGCUGUGGACAAACUAAAGUCUGUGCAGAUGCAGCAAAUAAACGGAGGAACUGGGUUAUAUCAGAGUUACUACAGCAGUCAGAGGUGAUGGCGAGCAGCGGAGGAUUUUCUUAGUACUCGAGCAGUUUAUGAUGACCUUCCUGUCCCUGUUACCUACAUAGUAAUUUAAUUACAGUGUAUUUACCAGGAAAUAACUUUGGUGUGAAUAGAUAAUGGUAACCAUCAGACUAUGUUGGUCAUAACACGACAUUACUUUAGGUUUUUCUUUGGUCCUUUCUCUGUACUGUAUGUUUUUAUGACUGAGUAAAUACCAGUAUUUGUACAGACAGGGUUCUCUCUCAUUGGUCCAGACUGGAUAGGGUCUGGUUUAUCAUGACUGUGCGUAUAUAUCAGAUGUAACAGGAGACAUUUCUCUCACUUGGAUGUUUGACAUCUGGACUGACACCAGAUUGAAACAGGACGUUAAAUCUAAGAGCCGCGUGUCUUUCUGAGUUUUCUAAGUUCCUCUGUCCGCUGAUUGUUGACCCACUUGGAUCCACUUUAUUUCAGCCCUGAGAGGAGAAACAAGGACACGGUCACUCUCUGAAUAAACACAUUGAAAUGAUGUAUGGAACGAAUGAGUUUACAGCUGAAUGUAUAGAAAGAGAAAAGCUCCAAGUGGCAUUUUGUUUAUGAGGUUUUAAAACCGAGCUGCUUCGUCCUCACCCCACCAAACAGAGCCCCUCUCUGCAGGAGAAUCUCAUUAUGACUCCUAAUGACAAAUUCACCCUUUCAAUUAUUUGCUGCCAUUUCAGAGCAGAGCUCUAUCUGCUGUGGAGAGGAUUCGGCUCGUGCACGGCCGGCCAUAAACCUGCUGAGGUAUGGAGCACAGAGCGGGACAGUGAUAUACUUUCUAAGUACAUCAGAGGACCUGAGCGCUGUCUGUGUUUGGACUGCAUAAAAACCUCAGUCCAAACACAAACACAGGGAUCCUCUCUGAACACAGGAGAGUCCGAGUUUCUCCUCACAAAAUAAAAUAAAAGGUGGAACAUGCUGAUGCUGAACGCUCAAUCUGAUAAUCAAAUGUGCUCGCAAAUGACCUGAAACUCAUCAACAAGAGCUUUUAAUGAAAUAACACCCUUAAAUGAAUACUGGGGGAGAGUGAGAAGUGAGCAAUGGCUUUUCAGGCUAGUUUGAAUUUUUAAUUGCCUGUCGGGAGAAUAUUAGAUAAAGCUUGAUUAGAAAUAAAUUGAAAAUCUCUGCUGAACGCGUUUACAGAUAGACACACCAAAGGAGACAGGCAGGCGAGGCAGGGCAUCCAGGAGUUGAUUGAUUUACUAUCUAUUAGUGUUUUUCUUAAUAACCUGCUUUCAUGUGAGCUCGUCACACUGACUGUAGAUUUGCUCUUUUAUAGAAACACUCUUUACAUUUUCAGAAAAUCCGAGUGAUGGCCUCCAAAUGUCAAGUGUCCACGCUCCUUUUUCACGCACUCGCUCCAUUUUAUGGUCGUUUAGACGUUCACAGUGUCUGAACGUCUCAUUUUGUUGUAAUCGGAGGAUUUUCUGGACGUUGACGUCAGCCUCACUGCUCUCCUUCUGUACAUUUGUCUCUCUCUUGCAGGUUCCUGACCUGUGACUUCUCCCUCAGAUUUAUCCUGCAUGUCUGCACUCAUCAUCACUUCCCAGUUACAGGUAAUACCCAAUUAAACCUAAAGGUCUACAGGAUGAAUCAGACAGGGGAGGAAGAGGAUUUGAACUCCAGUUAUGUCAUCUCCACCUCUGCCUCACAUGAAUCCAAGACGCUUAUUUAACAGCCAGUAUCGACACUUAAAAUCUGCAGCUUAAAGUAAUAUUUCACACCCCAAAGAAGUAAUAAUCGUUUGUGUUUAAUAACCGGAAACCAAUCAUAAAUUCUGCUGCGAUCACAAACAUCCAAAGAAAGGCUGUCGGUGUAAAAGGAGAAUAGCAAAUGUUAAGACUGUGAAGUUAUGGUCGCCACACAUCAUAAAACAACAGAAGAAGAAGAAGCAGCAGCUGAAAGUGAGCUAGCUUUAGCAUCCCUCAGAGAGAUGAUUGGACUCUUUUGAAAACCGACAUUUAAGAUUUAUUAUGAAUCCAAAACAAUGUUUGAUAUCAGGUUACUAAAUAUUUACGCUUUGUGAUUGUUCUUUAACUGUUUUCAUUCAGUUCAAUGUAUUACAAUCUACCAGAAGAAGACCUUCAAAAUAAAAGCGUGAUAAACAAUCAUGUAAGAGGUAAUGCUUUCUCCAAAGAAGUGUCAGUCACGGGACUGGUCAUGUGAAUAAAUCAUAAUAUGAACAUCAUUAGAAAUAGAUGAUAACAUCAUAAGAUAGGUUAAAACUUUAAUAAUCUUUAAAGAGUAAAUGCAGCUGCUGAAAUAGUCGGCAAGUAAAAGUAAGAGGAAAAAGUAUUAAUUAAAAAUAAAUAAAUAUGAUAAAAUGAGGGUUUUAUACGUACAAAGGUUUGAAAAAUAAGCAGCAUGUAGGGCAGUAAGGACUUUUUUUGAAGAUUGGUUAAAGUAGAAGUUAUGGGACAAAGUGACAUAAGAUGAUAUUAUAAAUAUAACAGGACAUGUAUGAUGUAAAAUAAAUACAACCCAGGGUAAUGUCAAACUGAUCAGAUCUAUAAAAUGGAAAAAUAGAUGUAAUAUCAUCUCAUCUCAUAUAUCUCAUACUAUAUAUCUCAUAUCAUCUCAUCUCAUCUUAUAUAUCUCAUAUCAUAUCGCAUCUUAUCAUUCUUGUCUUUCCCUAAUUUAACUGACUGUGCGUUUUAUUUUUUUCACCUAAAUUUCAUCAUAACGUCGUUUUCAUGAUAUUUAUAGUCAGGUAUAUGAUGAGAUGAAAACCUGAUUAUCUGAUCUGAUCGAUGAAUGUCACGUCCUCUGAAGUUUGAGGCUCAUGUGUACUGGUCCUAAUAGAUGCAUGCAUCUGUACCUGCCCAGUAUUAAGGGCCUGAGACUGCAGCAGCUUUAGAGACACUGAAAUGACUCUGGGCUACAGAGAGGUCACAUAUGCAGAUAUUUAAUAACACACAGGACUGGAGGUAAAAUGUGAAUUCAUAUUUCUGUCCAAACUGAGUGGACUGCACACGUUUUCAAAUGUCCAUCUUCAGUGAUAAUCUCCUGCUAAUGGGUUUAUAAGGGUGUUUAGGUGAUACAUAAUUGAGAUAAUAUCUAUAUAAUGCACAAUACUGCUUUAAAGUCCAUUGCUCAAACUCCUCCUGGGGUAAUCUCUCUAAUGAUGAUUUUCAAUAAAAGAGCAGCAGUGAGGGAGCCCAUCUAUAUGAAAUAACUACUUCCAGAUAACAGAGGCCAUCACAGUGACAGGCGGGUCAAGAGGUCGGCAGACUGCAGAGCAUGUGCAGCGGGCUGUGUGAAAUAAAGGACACGGGGGACAGAGAGCCCGGCUCAUCUGAGCAGACUCAAAAUAUGGGCUGUUCUUCACUCACAGCACAGGAAACACUAUAAACAAACCUGAGAGGAAAACAUGGACACUGUAUUUCACUGAGUACAACACAGCAAGGACACCGGCUGGGCCCAAAAACACACACAAACUCAUACUGUGGAGAGAGCUGUGUGUUUAAUUUAGCACAUAUGAGGAUGAUAAUUAGAUUAAUCAGAGUUUUUAAUCAUAUGAUAGAAGUUUACCGAUCAUGUUCCUUCAAACUACACAACAGCAGAGCCCUCCAGCCUGCAGUAUGGAGAAAUAUAAUUUACACAAGGUAUAAAAUAACAUUUAAACUCUGACGUAAGUCAGCAGGAUGCCGUAUAUUCUGUUGAAGUGUGCAGUAGGUAGUAAAUUAGUGUGUGGUUUCAGACAGAGGCACCUUUCAUUCUCAGCUCAAAGGAAUAUGUGAUACUUCUCUUAAACAUACAGUAUGUAGAAACAGGAACAUUUAGAUAUGUUGCAAUAUCUGGUGUUGGGUAUUAAAAUGCUCCCUCGCUCACCCCAAGUGUUGGUAGUCUUCAAGGACAAGAAGCUCUCGACAUGCUGAUGAAAAUCAUCUUUCAUUUGUCAAGAACACAGACUCUUUUCCAAACAACAACAACAACAACCACUCACUUCUUUGUCACCCAAACAGUGCACAAAACAGAUCAAGGCUCACACUAAAUACACAUAUUCAAGUUUAUGCUGAUCAAAGCUAGGGGUUGGAAUCAGCAGUUGCCCCACGAUAUGAUAUUAUCACGAUACUUGGGCCGUGAUACAAUAUUAUUGCGAUUGUUAACAUUUUGCAGUACAGUGCAGUACAAUUUAGCAUUUGUCUUUCCUUUCUCUUUGUCUUAUUUACACUGUUUUUUUAUUUUCAUGUAGCACAUCUUGCAAACCUUACAUUUAUAUUUGUUGUUCUAACUUUCUCCUGCUGUAUGACGUCACCUCUGUCAACCUCACUGGACAAACAGUUGAUUUUAUUAUUCACAUUAUCAUAGAUUUGACUUCAUAUUAGAAAUUAAUUUGAAUACUCAAUACUUGGUAAAUGAGACGAUAUGAUAUAUCACCAGACAAAAUAUUACGAUACUAUGCUGUAUCGAUGUUUUCUCCCAUCGCUACUGAACGCUGCAAGAAACUGCAGACUGCACCUUUAACCUAAAACACUAGAUUGACUGAAUAGUAACUCUGGUUACUAUGGUUACUGGCUAACAAGUGUGACGGUAUUUUACCGUUAAUAAAGAUGACAGGUUAACGAAGUGAUUUGACAAACAUGCAGAGAAACAACAAAACAACAUUAGAACCAAUAAAAACUUAAAGAUUUAAAUCAUUCACAGGAUUCAGAGCUUUUAAAACACACUGGUAUAAAUCCUGUAUUUUUCCAAAUUGCAGCAUAUUAAGGUAAAAAACUGGAAUAUUAGUUUUUUAUUCGUAUAAUUUGUAGGAAUGUGGCUGUGAUUGGGAUCUUAUCAGGGCAGUUGGUGGACAGAAAUUGCUCCGAUCUUUGGCAUGUGUAGAGAAAAGGAAAAAAAAAAAGAUCUAUUGUUGAAAUGUGUCUGUGUAGUUUCAUAUAUCAUUGAUUAGACAAAAUAAAAAAGCCAUAACAUUGGGUCAGGAGAACACAGGGCACGGCUGCUGACAUUCUAUCACGGCAGACACAUAUUGACUGGCGCUCUGAAAGUAGUCACUCACUCAUCAGUGUGAGGCAGGCUGAUUGAGUUGCCAGCAGCCACUAAAUGAGGCCUCCAUCCAGUGUGGGUCGAAAUGAACUGCAAUCUUUUCAGACCUUGUUGCAGCUAAGAGACCAACUGAGAGAACGAGAGGGAGAGAGAAAAGGGAGCGAGGGGGAGAGAGGUUUUAUAAACCCAGGAGGAUUUCAAAUAAGUUUACUGAAAAAAGAGAGGAGAGGAGAGAGCCGGGAAAACAAAGAGAGCAGAACUCAGAGUCGAGACGCUCUUAUUUCGACCUCGGUGUGCUUUCUUUGUAAUCUUGGAGAUGAGCAUAAACCCAUAAAGCAGAGAGCUGCACGUCAACACUCCAUGAAUUCACCAGCCAUCAGCUGAUCAGUGCCAUUUUAUCCAAUCACAUUUAAACAUCUCCAAUCAUCUCCACUCUUUGAUUCCCAAAACAUGAUGUUGUCUUUAAUAUUUGACUAACUGAAGUCCUGUAGAAGCGUUUUUUAGAAAUACUUAUCGUCUGUAUUGGAUUUACUCUGAACAUCCAGAAUGAAUCCAUAAAUACAUGAGCUGAUGUCUUCUUGAAUUUAUUGACUUUUCCAUGUUUCUUAACCUACCGAUCUGUCAUCAAUACUAACUGGUGACCUACAGUGAUGAAGAGAGGUGAAAGACACCUGCAGUUCCUCAUGUGUCCACUAGAGGCUUGCUCCAAAAGUCAAAAUCGCCCAUGUACAGCCUUUAUGAAAAUGCUGUUUUCUUUCUGCAUCAGACUCAAACAUGCUCACAGCGUGGUUCAAAAUAACGAUACCUAAUUUUUUUAUUCCUGACUCCUUUUUCAAGGGUUGAACUUUUUAAAAUGAUAUACUCAGACAAAGAGUCAUGAGUGAUUAUGCAACAUGUAGGCUGGUUUCAGCUUCUAGAUGAGAAGGUUCUGGUCUUAGAGCCUCCUCUCUGAUGGUUUCUGGUUCAGCCAGUCGGCCGGAGUCUGAGAUUUCUCUGCUCCUUUACACCUCUUUGAAAACUAAUGGGUGAGUUCUUGAGACUGCAUCUGUUCUUGUACACUUCAGUGUUUUACACUCAUUGUAGGGGCUGUGAAUAUCAAAUAUAACAACUUUGGUAGGGAUGCACAAUACUGGAUUUUGAGAUAUCCAAUUUGCAGGUAUUUUCUUUUUUAUUUUAUUUUCAAUUUUGUAUUUAUUUUGUAUUUAUUUUGUAUUUUACCAUAAUAUACCAACAAUAUGCAGUUAUUUUAUUUUUUAAUUUUUUUAAAUGUGUAUUAUUUUUUUAACCUUAAUAGAAGAAUAUACAGUUAUUAUUUUUAUCUGUUCUUAAUUUUAUAAAAUUCUAAUUUUUUUAUUUUACUAUAAUAGAACAAUAUGCAGUUAUUUCCAAACUCAUGUUGUCUAAAACUUGAUACCAAUAUGUUUUAUAAACCUUUAUUUUAUAAACCUUUUUCAUAUGUGAAUAUAUUUUAUUGUAAGAAGACCACGUCUCCCUGUAAACGGAUGAACCUGUGACUCUUGUGAUAGUCUAGUUUAAAAUUCACACUUACAAACAAUACAAACAACUUUUAAUUAGAAAUAUAUUCUUUUUUAAUUAAGGACAGUCUGUAAUGUGUCUGCUGUUUGUUUACUAUGCUUUCAAAUAUUUCCAUGCAGUCAUAAAAGAUUUCAUAUAUGACGGACAGCUAUUCUCAUAAAAAGAGUAUUAUUGUCGUUUUUGUUGUAAAUAGAUAUUUUUGAUGUGUAUAUAUGUGAUAAUCAGGCCUGUGAAAAUUCUAAUUUAUUCAGCCAGCUUCAGAAAGACAGAGAAAGUCCAAUGGUUGAAGCAUUCCUGCACACUUCCCCGUCUCUCCUCCACAUCCCUACCCUGGUCUCGACUUGAACUCUCUUGGUAUUGCAAAGACAGAAAGCGUGCAGUUAAUUACGGCUAAUGAAAGCUUGUUUGAGCAGGAGAGGAGGGGUGUAUAUUAGGGGAGAGGGAGUCAAGCGGCUUGAACCAGAGGGUUCCACGCACAAUUUGUUUGAACCUGGGUCCUCCUCACUCUCUGCAUGCUAAUUUACCUUGGGGCUGCACCGCCUGUUUUUAAAUAUCGUUAAUUGACUUAAGAGCUCAUCAACGUGCUUCGUCUUCAUUAGGUUAAUGAAAAGGCCCAGUGUUUAUUUUUCGUAACAGAUUGUGGCAAUGACAUAAUCUAAUCGGUUACUUCCACUUCCUGAAGGAUUGAGUCCUUCUGAUGUGAGCUGUUGGAGCCGCUCAGAUGUUCGGCAUUUGUGGGUGUCUGUCUCUGACAAAGCAGAGACGGGGGAGGAAUUAGAAUAAACACAUUUAGCCCUUGGCAUGAAUCUAUGUUGCCCUUCUCUAAUCGACAGUGUGAACUAACAAGAACGUAAUGGUACUUUUGAUGUGUGACUUGUCGGGGAGAGGCUGGCUGAAAAAACAGGGACGGCGUCUGAAAAUGGGAAGAUUGCAGAUUUGUCUCUGUAAUCUUAAUGGGCUGAAAUAAAUCAGCCGAGCGGGAAUGUCCAUGACCUAUGUCAUGAACCUGAGGGGGCUUGUAAGAUCCUGAGCAGAAAAGGGAAAUAUUUCCUGCACUCCUCGGUGAAGAGUGAACCCUCAGUCUGCAGUCGAAUGAAAAUCCAGAAAAGGAGCAGAUGUAUUCUGACUCUGUAAAUACAACAUUCAGCAUGUUACUCAUAGAUGUGCUGCUGAAACCAGAUUUUUGAUGACUUGGCGGUACUCUGAAGAGUGAUUCCUAGACAGUAUACUUAAGUUUUCUCUGUCGCUUUGUUGUUAUGCACCAAGUUUUUUACUUUUUACUGUCUCGGCUCCCACAGCUCUGCAGGAUCCAUAUCAAGUUACUGUUCAUGGAAAGUGAACCUUUUCUACAGUCAGAACCUAAAACCACUAAAACUGUUUCAGCUGAAGGUCCAGAAGGUUCAUUUCCCUGACUGUAUAUUAGAGUUAAACAUCUGCUGUCUCUGUGGGUUUUUCCUUUUACUUUAAUAGACUCUCAGAUAACAGAGGGAACAGUCAUCCUGACACUUACCGGCUGCGUCAUGUUUCUAUUGUAGCCUCAGAUAUAAGUCCUUACAGAUACCAGGCUGCAUCAUUUAAACAAUAUACUACUCUUAAGGUUGAGUAUUAGUUAAAGAAAUGACAAAACAUGGUGAGAGGAACUUCAUUAAAAAUACUUCAGAGUUCCCACGCAAGUAUAGAAUGUAUAAAAUACUGUUUUCUAAAAUAAAAAAAGUAGGUAUCUCCAGAAAUAAUUCUAAAAAGUACGUUUUGGAAAAGUAUGGAAGUUCCAUCUGUGUAGGAACCCUGAUACUUGAUCCUGAUUGGUCAUGACAAAAGUGAUUGAUUCCUAAUAGCUACAGAAAGUCGAACCUGAUCACACAUGUUAUAUCAGAUCUAUCAAUACGAAAAUAUUAUUUUAUCUGCACACUAGCUCUACUAUUACUGCUCGUUUCUUUGCAGUUAUAUGAAAUUAUCAAUAUUUGUUAAUAUAUUUUAUAUAGAUCUUGGCUGAGGAAUGCAAACCUGCAGACUGAGCAUGUGCAGACCUAACAUUAGUAUCUUACAACUAACAGGUUCACAUGACACGAGAUCCUAGGCUGUGUCUGAAAUGGAUCCCUAACCCCUCUAUAGGCGACUACAUGGGUAUUGAGUGAUUCAUUUCGGACACAGCCCAGGUGUGUACAGGCAGAUGUACGGUGGCCCUUAAGGUCAACUUAACAAAACACAAAAACGUUUCCUGAACAAUCAAAUAAUUUAAUAAAAUGUAAAAAUAUUUCACAAAAACGAUUUUAGUGAUUGAAAUAUGAUGAGUUAUGAGUUUUUUACAUCACUCAAACAGAGUUAGAAUAUUUUUAUUUUGUCUGAUUAAUCCACUUCGCAUAGAGAGGAAUAAUCAGCCUGUGUGUCUCUAUUUUACUGAUGCUGUUAUUAUAGUUGGUCUGUUUCUGUUCCUCUCUAUAAUGAGACAGUAUGUAAAGACGUUCCCGCCUGAAUGAUCCGCUCUCACAUGUUGAAGCGAGUCCGGCCGUGAGGAGCAGACGUAAAGACUCGGUCUGUGAGCUGCUGCUGCUGCUGCUGCUGUAACACUUAGGCAAAGCGAGCUGAUCUUCCUCCAGAGGACAGUAACAUUUGAGGCCAUCUCUAGUGGUGUGGCCCAUAAAGAGUGACAUGGUGGUAAAAUAAAUCACUCCCUGGACCCCAGACCCCCCCUCCUUCUCCUUUACACCACACCCCCCCUCCCCACUCCUUACUGUCUGGGCUGCUUGGCCAUCAGGGGGCUGCAAAAGCUCAUCAGUGAGAACUUGAGAAUCCUCAGUGGAGCUGUUCUGAGGUCAGCUCGGCCUCUCCAACGCCAUAAACAGCUCUCAGUCAGGUUCAUCACUAACUGUUUCACCCCCACACUUUUUUUUUUCUCCCUCACUGUCCAUCCUUGCACUCCCUUUUUCGCAGCAGACGUUUCCAAUAAAUCAUUUGACCCUCGUCCCCCCCUCCUCCUUUUGCCUCUUGUCUGGGAGCCCCUGUCUGUCCCCGACUUGGCCUGAGAUGAUGCGUUCUGCUGAAGUCACUUAAAUAAAAAGAUCGCAGUGGGAGACAUAAUGUGUUAAAGUAAUAAGAUGGUCUCGGGCAGGUCACGGCCCCUCUCCCUGCUCCAGUGCUCCUGUGGAGGCUCUUUGAGUUAAUGGGCUGUGGUCAGUGCACUGGUGAGCCAUAAAGGCUGCCCUCCCAAACUCCAGCCUCCGUUCAGAACAGGGGAUCCUCCAAAAGCCACUAACCGACCCAUCUCGAUAACAGCACAGCCAGCACUAUUUCCACCGUGCAGCUGACACUCCCCGGACCUGUAAAUCUCCUGUAUUUAUCAUCUCCUCUUGUACCUCUCCCCCCUGACUGCCGCCCUUACACAACUGUCCUUCAGUGUCAGCUGCUCGCCGGAUUUCACCGUUUGUCUGCUGAAAUACCGAGACGUGACUUUCUUUCCCAGCACCCGACCGAGCUCGUUCUGCACUGACCUGGAUCCCAGCCAUGCAUAAUCCCCCUUUUCCAUUUAAAUCUUGCAAUAAUGAAUAAAGUAACAGUGUGUACUAAUUAAUUAAAAUGGAAGUAUAAAGAUUGGAAAGCUGUAACAAAUUAUCUCAUUGCAUUUCAGCAGCAGCAGGUUAUUUUUGUGAUGGCGAGUGUGACUUCAGCGGGGUGUGCGUUCUCGCCGGGUGGAGGGAGUGACCGUUAAUGAAUGUAGCUUAGGGGAUUAAUGAGAAGAAGCAGGGGACGUGUCAUGGAGAAGUGUCCUGGCAUCGUGACGGCGACACGGCGGCCCCCGUCCUCGUCCCCACUUACAGUGAUUACAUGUGAGCCCCUGUCAUGAGCUAUAAGUGCUUUUAUGAAAUCGUAUUAAAUGCCAUUGUUUAUGCCUCACUUUUCACUUCCUCAUCGGUGUUUUUUCUCGCCGCCUGCCCUCACUACGCUUCGUUUGAGUCUCACUUCAGGUUUCAUCAGCAGGGCGUUAGCAUGUUAAGUCAAAUUAAGCGAUUUUUCCUCAUGCCACAUGCGUGUAACCUCGCGUUUUCCCCGCCUUCCUGAUCCCUUUGCUGCCGCGUGAUUAAUUUGUAGGUUCUCUAUCAGUAAAAGCAGAGCAGGAGUAGUUCCUGUAAACUUUCUGCUGAGGCAGGUGGAUUUACCACACCACAAACUUGUACUUUAAACUUCUCCCUGUUUAAGCCGGCAGAACAAUCCAAUUGUUGGCUUUCUGACGACGAGUCCUCGAGAGGAGAGAAAAUGAGGACUUAAACUCUCUAUACUUUAUGUGUAUUUCAGGACCGCCUCCGUGGUGAGCUGAUAAAGUGGAGGCAAAUUUUCCCAGCAGUGACUCAAACAAAGAUUUAAAGCCUUUUCCAUUACAGCUUUGGACCGUAAUCUUUAUCAAACACACUUUUUAAAAAAACGUGGAAAAUGUUGAUAAAAAGAGAAUUUGACGGUCUGCAGAUAUUCAAACUCACCAUCUUCUUUAGUUAAAAAUAGUCAAAAAGGGAAAGUAUUACUCCUUUUAGGAAAAACACAUUUUUAUUUUAUCGCUAAAGAGACAACAAACUUUUUUCAGGGUGUUCAGAUGAUUAAUACAAAAACAUGGAGUUAAAUACAAAAAAAAAACAGGAGUUAUUGUACUGGAGCAAACUUAAAUGUAGUUUUGAAUUGUUUUGGAAAGAAUUGUUAAACAUCCCUCGCUAGCAACCGCCAACCUCUGGUUCUGAGAAGUAACGCUGAUGCUAAAAUGCUAAAAACUGCAGUUCUCUGAGCGUCCACUACAGGCUGUCUGCAGAAGUACCACAAACCACAUACACACUCAUUGAAAAAAGUAAAUUCUAGAGCAAAGAUAAACACGUUUACAGCUGGUUCAAAAUAACACAGUGAAUUUUGUAAUACAGUAAUAAGAGCAGAAGUUAUUAUACAGUCUACGCUCGCUAGUUUCAUUUUCCUCCUCUUACCUUCUUUUAUGAUGGCGACUGGUCCGCCGUUAACCAUGAAUGUUAAUUUACUCUUCAAAUAAACAGAGAAUAGCGUUAAAAAUAUCCUCCAGUAUGUCAACCUUUAAUAUCAGAGUACUUUGUUUUUGCCACAUUGUCAACAGGAAGAGUUAAAAUCACAAACAUUAUUAAUGCGCCUGAUUCCUUUUCUGUGGAUUCUUUGAUAUUUUUAGUUUAUUUGACACGGUAAAACUUCCACCUGUUACAAGAGUUUACAUUUAUUACUCGCUGUUUUUGUUAAUUAAAAGAAAAAGGAAACAUAAAGAUAAUAGUUUAAAGUUUAAGUUAAUGUUAGUUUUAAAGUUUUCAAAGAUUGAUGUACACAUUUUAAAAUGUCAAUAAUUAAUGUCAGUCAUGUUCCUAUUUUUGUGGAAAAUGAUUGAAUUAAUUCUGCGUCCAAACCGUCAAAUAUCUGAGGUUGACAGAGGAUAGUAUGUCGGUGUUAUGGUUACAGGCUCUUCUAAAAAAAAGCUCUUAUGUGGCCUUAAGAGACGUCAACAACCUGAGAGUAUUUCCUUUACUGACAAAACAUAACUCUAAAUUAUUCCACGGUGUAUACAUAUAUUUAAAACUAUUCUUCCUUUUAAACGAGACCGUCUUUGUCAUCCUUGGAGCCCUGUUUCAGAGCUACAGAUGCUCUUUGUCGUCCUAAUAUUUACAUUUUUCUCUCACUAUCUGGGCGUCUUUGUGUGAUACAGAGAGGAGGAGAGCAGCAGCAGCAGCAGCAGCAGCUCAGUAGACAGACGGACUGCCUCCCCCCAGCAUGGCUAUAAUAACCUCCUGGUGUUGGAGCAGACUCUCUGAGAGAUAUCCUUGAGCCUCACCUCCAUCUCUCUAACAGGUCACGCCGAGAUCCAGGAGAUAGUGAGCUAUAGUUAAGGUCCAGAUCUGCUAUCUGGACUUGAGUGAUGGAGGAAACCAUGUGGCGACAUGUUUAUUGUCACCCAGAUGGUCCACAAUGCAGCGGCUUGGCGAGCCACAUCCGUCCCUAAUAUAAUUCAUGGGGUGGCACCAUUGUGGGGUGACUGAUAAGGCCUUCACUUAGCCCUGCACUGGUCACUUGUCUCAAGGAGACUCCAAAGAAACUUCACUCUGUACAAAUGGUGGCCAAAAUAUCUAAUCCCACCAAGGGCUGCACUUUAGAGCGAAAACUUGGAGCGAGGUUAGCGGGCUGGGAAAGGCCAUUUAUAACCGCAGAAUUCUCUCUUAGCCGUUUGGCUUCUUGGAAGAGUUUUUAUUUAGAGAGAGAAAAAAAAAGAAGCAAUUUCUGGUGAGAAAACAGAGCAGGAAAUGUAGAGUAGAUGAGGGAGACUAGAAUAACUCGGAGAAGCCCACCCGGACCGGGACUCAUAGGCAGUCAUGGCUGUCCAAACAAAAUUAGGCCUCCAGAGUCUCCGGCCUUGACACGUCCAAACAUUUUGGCACCUUCAGCUUCGAGAAUUUCACUCUGCAGAACAAAGCUGAGAAAAUGUUAUUCUUAGAAAUGAGUCAAUUGAGCUCGGUUUGGUGGCGUUUUGAUGGCGAAGGACACCGUCCAACACGCACUUGAGCGGGGGAAGGUUAAAUGGAACCAAAUGCACGAAUGUCCCAGAAGAGAGCGAUGUGGUCACCGAUGAGAGAGAUCAGAGGAGACUCUUGAAAUCUGUUUCCCAUCAAACCGUCCCGCUCCAGGAUCUCCAGAGGAACGCUCCCUGACAGGGACAACGUGCAGAGAGAUAUUUAGAAAUCUGCUUACCAUUAUCCGAGCUUGAAAUCAUCGUAUCGGGGCAUGACUCAUGGAUGUGUCGGACUUUGUGCUCUCAGACCAAUUUUCACACAAUUAUUAAUCCCUUUAAAACAGCGGAGUCUGAGAACGGUUCACUUGGAUGUCCCUCCGUCAUUCUUACUGCGUAUUUUUGAACAUGAACUUGGAUUUACAAACUCCUGUUAAAAAGUCAAUAUUCUACCUGCAUGGAGAAACCAUUGUUUGCAACAGUCACAUUCACGUCUGUUCCCCCGCAGCCCUUCACCGCCGCCGUCGUCUCAUCAUAAAUAUUAAUAAUAUUCUUCUCUUCUUCCUUUUUCACCUCUUCGCUCUUUCAGCAUCACCCUCAGAUUGUGUCCCAGCUUUUCUCUGCGUUUACAAAACUCACAAAUACAGCGAGGCAAAAAAAAAGAGAAAACAGAAACACCUGUUAUGAUGCAACGCAGCGCAAUCCAGGAGUCCUACCGUGAACACUUCCAGACUUUAAUGGAGUGAAGUCGGCUCAGGUUAGACUUUGUUACACAGCUUUUUAGUCGUGUACUUUUCUGCUUUAUUUAGCAUGUUCUCAACUAUUACUGCGUCUCUUUCUUCUUUUUCUUGUUAUCGGGGACUUUUUGUACUUAAUUGGAGAGUUGAGAGAGAAAAAGUCAAGGCUGGGACUCGAACCAGAAACCACCAACACAAAGACCGUUGCUCCUCUUCCCCUGGUUUGAAGGGCGUGAGCUCUCCUUACUACGAUCAUGGUUUAAGUUCUUUAUAAUGUGAUUUCUCGGAAUAAAGGGGCAGAUUAUUGAAGAUUAUUCUUCUUUCUGCUCCUUUUAUUCAGAUGUAAGAACUAUUGUGUACACUGUUUUUUGAAUUGAUUCAAUUUUAAUUAAAAUUAAAAUAAAAGAUAACGUAACACUUUAUUUGACGCCUAUCGCUAUAACCCACUAUAAAUAUAUGUAUAAUGCGUCUUAAUCACAAUAUAGUGCUGUAUAAAUACAGUUGUAAACACUCAAACGAUUAUAAUGCUUUAUGUCAAUAAUCAUAACGAGGCCUGGGCGAUUUGGCUUAAAAAAAUGAUCACGAUAUAUUUUGUCAUAUCGUCCGAUUUCGAUUAUUAUCACGAUUUUUUUAAACUGCCUGUUUUAAAGCAUCUGUACUAAAAUCUAAAGAAACUAGAGAUGAGUUCAACAUUUUAUGAACAUACAAAGUAAAUAACAAAAUAAAUUAAAUAAGAUCGCCCACUUUAGAGAUAAUAAAGACGCCUUAAAAUGUAAACAUUAGAUGAUGUAAACGUAGAUGAUACGAUUGAUUGCUGUUUUGGUCUGGUGGCUGCACCGCUAGUUGUGGCUAAACUACUUGUGCCGUCACAUUUGCCCACAUUUUCAUGCUUUAAUCAUAAUCUCUCGAGAAGAACUUCUUCAAAUAAACAGAUCUGUUGUGUUGUCGGUUUUUGAGGGCACCAAUUGAUGACAUAUCUUAAACAUCGGCUUAAUCGCUCUACGUCACUUUGGAGAUACCCGAACCCUCGCCACACAACCAAUGUUGGAUAACUUCUGAACAAUAACAUCUUUGGAGGAUGACUCAAAGUCAUGGCUGAUGUCUACUUUGCUGCCCUCAGCUCUGAGUUUAGGUCCACACUCAGUUAUUCUGUUUACUUCUCCUGUAACUUACAGAAGUGAGCAGUAAAAGCUCGACUCUGAUUGGCUGUUGUGACGCACAAUCCCGCUAUGUUUGAUCGAGUAAAUAAUAAAAAAAAUUAUAGAGCAUUUUAUCAUGACUUACAAAGUCAGGUUUUAUAAUGUGUUAUAACUGUUAACAACUCACUGACACUGCCCACAUAGAUAAUGCAAUGCAACACAUUUAUAAUAAGUCAUGAUAAAUGCUUUAUAAUGUGUUAUAAUUAUUGCUAUAAAGCAUUAUGAUCAUUUAUGAGUGUUUAUAAUUAUAGGUAUACAGAGCUAUACUGUGUUUAUAAUGCAUUUUACGUAUAUUGAUAAUGCGUUAUAGAGAUAGGCAUCAAAUAAAGUGUUACCAAUAAGAAUAAUACUGAUACAUAAUAAUAAUAAUGUUUUAUUUAUAAGAGCCUUUCUGAGAACUCAAGGACACUUCAGAGGAAGAAUGAAAAACAGCAGCAAACAUGUCUUAACCUCUUUGAGUCUGAGAGGCGGUUUGUGAUGAAAAUUACACUCCAGUGUCCUUAACUAUUAAAAGAAUCAUGCAAACCGUUGCCAUGGAGACUGUACACAAAGGCAUGUGCAUGGAGAUACUGUAGUUUCACCUGACACCAGCAGUUGUAGUAAAAGGCAUUCAGAUGUAGUCCUGAUAGUGUUGUGGACUAAACCAGGUCCUGAGAGUCCCGGCUGCAGGUCUGAAACAAGUCCUCGGGUUGUUCUGAGUAAAUAAAGACGCCCCACAGAGGGACUACAGAGGAACGGCCGGACUUUGUAUGCAGUGUGAGUGUAAAUACAAAGAGCCAGAAGACAAUAGAAAAGCAUUGACUCCAACAAAAACACUGCUCAUGCACUAAAAAUUCAAAAGGCAUUCAUAAGUGGACUCCCAAUCUCCAUCAGCAGCCGGGGCGUAUUUUUCAGCGAGACCAAUAGUUGGAGUUGUGCCUAUCGAAGCAGCAUCUUUAUUCGGAUGGAAAAUGAAUCCUCAAGGAACAUGGCCAGGCGCUUUAUUGUGUAUGCAGUGUGUGGCCAGGUUCAAAUUGGCAAUCAAUUAUCCAAUUAAGACUGACAGAAAUGCACAUCAGGAAUUCCAGCCCAUCAGUCCAAGCUUCUGAUUGGAACACGAUUAGAGGGACUUAAUUAAACCCUAGGUGCUGGGUGUUUAAACAUCAUUUGUGCGGCGUCGGAGGGCUUGGAAAAUAUAAAUCUGGACUCCAGAUUCUCCACGCUUAUCCCACUUAUGGAGCAGGAAAAACCUUGUAAAACGUCCCUUUGAUGCCUCCCUGUAUGCGGCCAUGUUGGAUAUUCAAAGAGGAGCGAGCGGCGUGGAAACACACGCCCUUGGGAAGAUCAGAAGAAAGAGAUAAAUAUUUGUGAGAAUUGCACAGUACAAUGCAAUAACAAUAGCCACCAUGAUAUUGUGCCACAUUAGUCUUAAAACCAUUCCCACGGUUUAGCAGCUUCUGAAUAAUUCAAGGACACGGCGCACCAUGGAGAGCUGUAUAAGUGUGAUGUGUAGGAUGAAAUGCAGCUUUCUUCUUCUUCUUCUUCUUCUUCUUGGGGGGAAUUUUCUUCUUCCUCCUUCUCCUCCUUCUCCUCCUCCUCCUGUGCUGUGGUUGUUUAGUGCCCGUAUUGAUUUCUGAGCUGUUUCUUCCUCCUAUGUCAGACAGUGUGAAAUGGAAGGCACUGCAUUUUAAUAUUGGGUUGUGAAUUAAUCAUUUUUUCCUGAUAGCGAAGCUCAGCUCUGUCCCUGUAGGAGAACACCUUAUCACAGCAAAUAGGAUUCAAAGGGAGAGGAGCAGUAUAAUCCACAGCUAAUUGGAUGAAAUGGCUGCGCUCUCUCCCUCCUUCUAGGGCCCGGCGUCCACGCAGCCCCCUCCACAGGGAGCUCCGAGCCACCGAAGAGGUUAUUACAGUUUGUCCUUAGGGAGCAUUAAUACCUUAGCCCUUGUUCAGACAUGCAAAUAAUCUAAUUCAAGGUCUAGCUAAUUAACAACUUAGCUACAGUAAAGAUAAAGAGGCUCAAUAAUAAGCCGCGGCUUUUGGUAGGAGGGCAGUGCACCACCUACCAAAGAUACACCAAUGUCACUAAAAAACAGGGGGUGGACUCUGAAAUGAGCAAACAACCUUGUGUUUUAAUGAAAAAGAAGAGCUUUGAGCGAAAUACAGAGCAAUUAAUACCAAAAGUAGUUAGGAAAAAGGACUGUUGGACAAGUAGAACCUGCUAAUCUAAUUUUCAGGAGGGCGGGGGGAGGUAGGUCUGACCACGGCCUUUAAAGAAAACACCUCAUUGGUUCCCGCUCAUUAGCUAAGUCCACCAUGACUUUAUCCUGUGUGUCAUCAGGCUGCAGAAAACAAACGUGUCACAGAAAUAAUGUUGAUUUUAGCAGAUAUUUGAAAACCAAAGUCAUUUUACUUAAGUCCCAAUUUAGUUAAUGCAUGUCUCUGUAACUGACAUGCAUCAGAAAUGGAGUCAGAGGGAGUUAAAGAUCACUGUGCAAAUAUAGCAGAUAAAGUGAACACUGCACCCCUCAGCUAAUUUAGCUUGUUAACAGGAGUGUGUUUGUUUAAUUUUGAGUUACAGGUUGAUGCAGAGAAAGUAUCAGUGAUGUUGGCGAAACAUUUUCAUUUCCUCAUUGUCUCACGUAAACAAAACAGACGUCUGUCGUAGUUUUUAUAAACAGUAUCCCAAGUUAUUCUCUUAAUCAGGACACAUCAUUUUCAAGUCUUUGUGCUCUUGAAGCUUCUUAUAGGGACUAUCAGGUUGAGGUGAUUCUGGCGCCCCCUCUGGACAGAGUAGGACGGUUUAUCUCUGCACUGGUCUUUCCCUGUGCAUGUGUAAAUAACGCUUUCUUUGAUUAAUAACAGAUAAAUAACAGGUUUACAGCGUUAAUCAAGCUUCUCUGUAGUGGUCUGGUUUUCUUUUGACUCAGUUUUAAUUCUGGGUCAUUUAGUAGCAAAGACGUACAACAAUGUAGAUGUUGCUGAUCUGUCCUCAGGUGAGAUCCUUGAGCCCAAACAGAGAGACAGAGGUGAACAAGUGAGAUAGAUAACAGGAUGAGAGAGCUAAACCCGCUUAAGAUCCUGUUUUCUGAUUUUUUUUGAUCUAAAGAGCUUCUAAACUCGAACCCAGAUCUGCGCAAACCUGCAAGAAAGAGCUGUAAGCAGCCUCUCUUGGUCUUGAUAUUUAACUCUAAGUUUCUUUAUCCUUUAAUUUCUCUUUUUGUCUUUGUAUUUAUGCUGCUGUGAUUUGGAAUUUCCCCCCCUGCUGGACUUAUAAAGGAAUGUCUUUUCUUAUUUUCUCCUGUGCGUCUGCGCUCCGCUUUCCAUCACACCUACAACUCCUACAGAACAAGUGAGCGCAUUAACAGAACGCUGCAGAGACGGCUUUUGUUUACUUUUUAGACAUAUAGAUUUGUUUCUCAUAUAAGAUCCUUAUAGGCGCUUUAAUAUCACAUAAAGAUAUUUUUGCAGUUAUCCAUCACCCCUCCUCCUCCUCAGCAGUUAUUAUUCUACUUUCAACAAUAACUGAAAUAAAGUGGGUUAUAAAACCUGCUGCUGUCUUACAGGAGAACUGCGUUUAUUCUUACAUAACUCCUGCUGCCGUUUAAUAAACAUAUAAACAGGUUAAAUUCUGCACAUGAACUCUGCUCCGUAUUGAUUUCAUGUGUUUUGGGCCCGGCUGUUAACCUCUGCAGCUCAUGUGCUCACAGAACGUAAAGUGAUCUAUCUGCAUGAGAGGUUUUCAGUGAGUGAUCAGAUGGAUAUGUCAACAUUUUUCUGACACUUAGCAUGCUUAAGUCUAAUAAGAGUUUCUCCUUGAGUGCCCAUGCAGCGCAGUGUGGGCACUUAUUUGAAUAGCCUCUGUGGGCUGUUGUCUCAUAAUAAGGAAAAAAAGAGAAAAACAUGUUUUAAGGCGUCUCUCUGGCUUUUCCAGGCUCAAAUGUUAAUCCCGCUUUAGCAAGGUUACAUGGUCAAGGUUGCCAAAUUACCAACGAGCACUAAUCACCCCUGCCUCCGAGCCAGUCUGGCUCAGAAGCAAACACUGUGGAACAUCGCUCCCAGCCCCCCGCUCAACGCCUCGCCACACACACACAGACACGCACGCACACACACACAUACGCUCUGCGCCUUUCCUGUGUAUGAAAUCGUGAUUUACAACAUCAAUUUACAUCUGCCAAUAUGAAAUAACUUUUCCUUAAAUACAUCAAGUUUCUGCUCCAGAGGGUCGGCGCUCUCUCUGAGGUCAUAUAAAAUCCCUCUGUAGCUCCGAUCUCAUAUAAAGGAUAAAACAAACACACAGAUAUCACUGACCUUUAUAACCUGCACCAUCAGAGGAUCACUGUAAACUAAAACUGAACCUUAACAAACUGGAAAAACCUGAUUUAAUCUGAUUUAUUUCUAACUGACCAUAAAAAUAGAGAAAUGUAAAAAGAUAACAAGUAUUUAAACCAGUUUAACUCUCUUUGAGCAGUAACGGUUAUAUAUAGUAUUAUAGUAUCUGUCAUACUCUAGUGUUUAGGAUGUGUAAUCUACAUUUAGUGAAUGUUUUAUAUCUGUGUUAUGAAAACUCGUGUAGAAAACUGUGUUAUUUAUCCUCCUCUCAUCUGUGGUGGAACUAGAAAGAGAGUAUAAGUCAAUGAUGAGGUUUGGAUUGAAGUUGGGGUGUCCCGAUACAACUGUUUCACCUCUGAUACUUUACUGAUAUUGUUGCCUUCAGGAUUGUCCGAUGUCGAUAUUGAUCCAAUAUUAGCACAAACUUGUGCAUGACAAGUUUUGCGCUCAGUUGCAGCAUCUUUUUCAGGCUUUAAUGAAAAUUACUGCCGAUACAGGGCCGAUAUCACUCUCUACUUUGUUGGUACCUCAGUACACUCACUGUUGUUGUGAUCAUGUCGGCUCUGAACGCUGGAUCCAGGUGCUGGAGUGGAGUCUGGAAUGGACUGCCUAUAUCGGAGUGCAGAUAUCAGAGAUUUUAGAUGCAGGCCGAUACAAUCAGAUAUUUGAUUUUUCAUUGAUAUCAGACCAAUAUCUGAUAUCAAUACCGUAUCGGGACAGCCCUAAUAAUUAGUUCAGUGUAUUCUCAGACUGGAUGACGGUCUUUGGAUACACCAGAAGGACAAUCCAGACUGGAUUUAACUGGUUCUGUUGAUGCAGUAUUUCCAGGUGGCGCUGUUUUUCUGAGUGUGUUCAGGCUGGGUCUCCUCUAAAGACGAUGUUGACGUUUGGCUGAGCUAGAGAAGUUUAAAAGUCAUGGUGAGACAUCUUGCUGACCACGCCCUCAAGGAUAUCUUUAACAAAAAUGAUGCAGAGAUGUUUGGAUCAUGAAGUGAUAGUUUGGUAUUUCCUGCAGAAUGACUGACAUGAAUGUGUUCAGGUCUGCGCUUCUAUAAAACACGCUGAGUUUGGAGCAUGCAUGGCUGAGAUAAAAACUACUUCCUGUGCCAUGGCCACGCCCCUCUUGAUGAUCUGAUAACCCUUGAUAACUUCUCGUGGUUCAGGUCUCUUCUAGCUGUGAAACUAGUUUAAAGGUAAUUAGAUCUUCCUUUUUCAUAAUGGACUAAAAACUGUUGAUUUCUGGCGGUAAGGUCAUCAGAUUAGUAAUCAUUUAAGGAGGAGACGAACAACGAUUGUUCGGAUUUUAAUCUGAUCUUUGACCUCUUGCUGCUCGAGUCUAGCUAACAAACAAACAAACAAACCGUGAUCGUCCUGUGACGCUCAUCAUCUCCUCUCAUGUCACGCUGCAUUCACAGACAGGCCGGUUUUCAUAAUCUCCUCAUAAUAAUCAUGCUAUAGUAUUCUUAGGAGGACGUCUUAUUAAGAGCGGGAUUAUUGCAAAGGGUUAAUGAAAGUAUAGCAGAAAAUAUUGUAUAGCAAGUGUUAGAGUCCAAUCACUCUUUUUAAUAGCUUUGUAGCGGCCAGAAAAUCAAGUAUUCAUGAAGAUUGAGGAAGAUGAUCCAGUGAACUUCAAUUUAAUUGGUGCAAAUUAAAACAAUCCAUCUUUUGCAGCUGUCUAUCUAUCUGCUAUCACCACUUCAUUGCUCGUCUUGCACCUUGAUUACAAUUAUCUUUUAAUAGCAAAACUUGUCAGCAAUUUCUCUCCCUUCUGAUUUACGUGGCGGCCCAACACGGCGUUGUUCCACUCGUAUAACUCAUGUUUUAGUGUAAUGCAGAGUGAGCCUCCGCUGGGCAGACGUAAGAUGUAUUGACACCAUCACCUCAUAUCUGCUGGGUGCUGUGACAUAUAGCAAACUGUCUCUCUGCAGCAGCAGCACUCGCAGCAAUCCUUCCCUCAUUCAUACCAAAAGAGCGUGUUUGCAUGGCGGGCUGCGGCCCCUGCAGACCACCCUCAGAGCCGAGUACAUCAAUGGAUUACAAAAUAAAUGCAUAUGCAGACACUAUUUUUUGCAGUGUCCAAUAAUGGUUCCAGGCAAUUAGAUGGAGAGAUGACACUCUGACUUUUAAUUUGGGACAGAGUGAUCUCUCUCUCUCUCUCUCUGUCUCUGUCUCUAUCUCUCUCUCUCUCUCUCUCUCUCUCCUUCCUCUCACCUGAUGUGCUGAGCUCAGGCCUUUCCAGAGAUACAUGACUGUCGUCUUAUUUUAUCAUAAAAUGGGAUCUCGCCGUUUCAAAGCGACGACUGGAUGUCUGAGCGCUCGUCUUAAGUGACUUUAGAUUUCAUCGUCGACGCCGGUGGAGGUGCUUUGGGAUCGGAGGGCGUCGAUAUCAGAGGAUGAGUGUAAAACAACAUGAUGGAAUAAUGAGCGGGGGAACAAAAGCUGCUUUAUAUUCCUGUUUUGGUUUUUUUCAAAUCAAACCUAAGUACACUUCUCGGUUGGAUUGUAACGUCUAAGUGAGGCCGGUGUGAGUGUCAGAGCAGCCUUCAUUAGAAAAAUCAAUAUUUUUGUGAUUCUUCCUCCCAAAGUAUCAGCAGCAGACUCGUUGAGUUCGCAAUAAAACACGAAGAGUCUGAGAGUUUCAGCAUUUGGAAUUACUGGACAUUACAGCAAACGAGCCAUGCAUGGGCAAUAAUGGACACAGACAGAUACAAAACAAAGCAAACGUUCAUAUUUUAUGAAAGUUCAUAUCAAGAAAUGUGAUCAAUGGGAGAAAAAGCUUUGCUCUCGACCGUUUUAUUGCCAAUAAUGAUUCACUUACCGGACAUUAUAGAUGCGUUAUGCUCUUAUGAUUCGAGGUAAUCUGUGCAAUUAAAAAAGGAGCUUUAGGAAGGUGGAGAGACAGAACUCCAAAGAUGGAGGAUUUACAAAUGUUCGAUAUGUUUUUGGGGGGAAAACGGGAGAAGAAGAAGAAGAAAUCUCGGCGUGCUUUGGGGAAUCGCUCGGCCGUUUCCACUGUGCCCCAAAUAAACUUGGAUGUUCUCCAUCCAUCAGUUGACUACAUGGAGAGCUGACCUGUCAUAAAUUCACUCUGUGGGGAUGAUGACAGGGCCGGAGCCAAUCUUCAUGAAAGAAUAAAAAAAUGGCACCAGCUUCCCAUCCCCCCCCUACCUCCACUCUCUCCGAGUCCCCCCUUCCAACCCCGACUCACCCUUCACCCUCAGCACUGGAGCACCAUGGCUCCCUAUCUCCCUGCCUAUCUCUCUCUCUCUCUCUCUCUCUCUCUCUCUGCUCCAGCCAGGCUCUCUCUCCCUCUCUCCCCCUUUUCUCUCCAUGGGUAAGCAGGUAAUCAUGAGCUGUCACAGAAAGGUGACCCAUUAAUGUGAUGGAUACGGUGUGAAAAACAAAUGGUGUGAAACGUGUGGAUUGCUGUCCUUACUGCACCUUGGCCUUUUGUUCUGUCAUAUCAAUAUCCACACAGGGCCUCAUUACACCGCUGCACUACACAAUGAGUGGAGCGCCAGGGUCAAGACUGCGCCACGCUCCCUUUGACUGGGCUUUUCAGCUCAAACCUCACCCCAAAGGACUCCCAGGUAAACAGGAAGAAGAGGGGCGGCCUCUGGAGCCACAGACAGCACGCAUCACCCCAGACCAAAUAAGGGAGCCCCUCCACAGUCCUGAAUCCAUCAGGGGCCCUGACUGGGCUGCAGACAAUAGAUACAGGGAGGAGGAGGAGGAGGAGUGAUUCAGUCUUGGGUGUCACAGUCACCAACAG
RNAcentral lists this long non-coding RNA (77158 nucleotides) under Xyrichtys novacula (pearly razorfish). The record is from RNAcentral. Lineage: Eukaryota; Metazoa; Chordata; Actinopteri; Labriformes; Labridae.